ACAAUUAAACAGAAACUACAAAAAAAAUAUAAAACAAGAAAAAAAAACUUGUUUAAUUUUAAUUUUAAUUUUAAAUUUUAAAAUUUUAAUUUUUUCUGUAUGUGAUACAUAUUUUAAUUUACUUCAUAUUUUGUUUUAAUUUUUAAGGAAGAAUUUUCAUUUUCAAAUUUUAAGUCAAUGUGUUAGAGGACAAUACACACACGACAAAUUUGUUCCACGUCUCACAAAUUCCUCUGAAUUUAAAUUCCAUUUUGAUUUAUCAGUAGAAGCUUCUUCUUCCGGUGAGCUUCUAGAUAAAAAAUGUGCUCUUCGAGAAAAAUAAAAUUAAAUCAAAAAGAAAUAGAAAAAAGAAUUAAAGGAGUUUUGCGUAAUUUUGAAUUUAAACACCUAUCAUCGAUGACCAACUCGACUAUACUGUACCGUGCCAAUAAAAUAUCGACAUAAUAUAUUUUCUUGUGAGCUCAAAAUUUUUUUUUAAAAUUGUUAAAAAUUAUAUUUAGAGCAAUUAAAAUAUACUAUGAUUAAAACGGAAAGAAUCAUAAGGAUCAUUCUUUUUUUUUGGGGGGGGGUAAAAUAUAGAAUAGUCUAUGUAAAUAUCUAUUUUUAAAUUUUUUUCUUCACUUUCAAAAAUCUAUAUUUUAAUAUUUUUAAAAUUUUCAGUUGACGCAUUUAACUCCCAUUCGUAUCGAUUUUUUCACUACUCCGUCAAUUACUUAUAAUUUAUAGCAAAAAUAUUUUUAAAAAUGACAAAAAUAUGUUAACUAUUUUUCUACAAAAUAAAUAAGACCAAUUUGGUCAUUUCAUUUUUCUAUUAAAGCCAUAAUUUUUUUAAAAGAUUUUUAAGAUUGAGGAUACAUGUAAAUCAUAUACUUUGUCCCCUUCUGACAAGGGCAUUUUCGUCUUUUCACCAAACCAAAACGGGAUAUAAAUAGCGGGAGUGGUCACUCUGUGUGUUGUCCCUCUCCCCCUCUCUCUCUCUCUCUCUCUAAGCAACAAUGGCGAUUCAAAUCCGACCACAUCUCCACCCUCUCAUCCUUGUUUUGGGCAUAACAUGAUAGGUUUGAAUCUCUCCAACCAAAUUCUGUUUAUUUUUUGUAAUUUGGGCAUCUUAUAUGCUAAUCGAGGAGUUUGUGCCGAGUGUUGAACAAUUUGAGCGCAAUUUUUUGGGUUUUUUUCCUUAAGAUUUGGGGAAGUUAAUUUCAUAAACCCUUUUGUGGGUUUAUGGAAUUAAAGUUGCUAACUUAACUCUGAAGCCCAUAAAAAUCGCAUUUUUGGAGCAAUUCCAGUGUUUUAUGCUGGAUUUUGAGUUCAAAAAGAGUAGGUGAAGUGAUAAAGUGAUGUUAGUGUUGUAGAAUUGUAUCUGACUUAUUAUCUGCUGUUGAAUUACCUGAGAUGAGACCCCUUUUUUUGUCCUUUUGAAUUUUAAUUAGUGCUUCUUUUGUUCUUUUUUCCGGCUAAAAUGUGUGGACACUCCCCAAAUUUGGGUAAUUUGGAAACGAGUUCUCAAACUAUAAAUUUCUUUUUGAAUAUGUUUUCAUACCCCCAUAGUUUUUUUUUUUUCACUGAUGAAUAUUCUAUGACUUAAGUGGUAUUUUAGUUAAUAGUUCUGUCAUUCUAAUUAAAUUUAAUAAAAAUUUGUAGAAUAUUCCAUUUAAGUUGUGGAAUAUCCUGUUUUAAACGGUUUGUAGAGUGGUAAUUUGGAUGGAAUUUCCUAAAAUUAGUAGAAAAGUUGGGGGUUGAAACUCAAAAUUUAAAGAUUAGAGACCUAUGUCCAAAAUUGGAGGGGUGUGAAUAACCAUUUUAGCUUUCUUUUGUUGCUAGCACUAGGAUUUUUUAUUGUUUGCUAUGGAUCAUUUUUCAUUUAGUGAGAGGUUUAGUAUAUACUUCUAACUUAAUAAUCAUCUAGACAUAUCGAUGACUGGGCAGUUUUUGUGCUGUUAAUAAUACACCUUAAAUGUAUAUUUCCAUUUAUUAAUUUCAAUCUAUAAAAGUACCUUUUGUUUUACUACAACAUAAGGACCUUUUGUUUUACUACAACAUAAGGACCUAUGUUAAAUUACCGAAAACAAAUGAGUGCUGAUUGUUUGGUAUAUCCAACCUUGUCAUAUAAUCCAUCCAACUUUGUUCUUCUUUUUCUUUCAAUGAAAACAACAUUUGUAGAUAGCAUAAUUAGUGCGUUUAUUGAUAGUUGGUGUAGAAAAUAUGAAUCUUUGGCCUUCGGUCAUUAUGGAGGAAGCCGGCUAGUUGUCACCACUACCUUAUAUUUUGUUCAUUCAGAGUAACCUCAGUUCCAUUUGAAGACACUGAAAGAAAAUAAGAUUGGAAGAAGUACCACGAGAAAUCCGUAGCUUGUAUCUCAAACGUCUGAAGUUUCGGCCAAAAUCUAUUUGGAAAUUUUAAACUAUGACAAUCUUUAGAGUUUCAACAAUUUUCUGUAGUUUUAGGAGAGUUCCAGACUUUUUUUUUUUAUCCCCAGAAUAGUGCGUUCCUUUCAACAACUGAAGCUUAUGACAGAGAAAGCAUAUUUCUCAACUCCAAUGUAGGAAAAUUAUCAUCUGUUCUUAGUUUUUGCAUACUCUUGACAUCUCUGACUUUGCUUUUCAAAUGUUGAUUAGGUCUUCUCAGCAUAAAAGUUAUAUCUGUACUUCAUCAGUGAAUUAGCUGCUUUUAAUGUCGAAUAUAUCAUUUUGCCAAUAGCAGUUUUCUUUUUUUGCUUUUUCAAUCAAUAUUCACCUUUAGAUUUUUCUUAUUCUAAUAAUUUUGAAAAGGUUGUUAUUACUUGAAGUCCAUAAACAACUUUUUAAGAACUGCUUAGUUGGUCUAGUUAGCCACCAAGGGAGAAAGUUCAGGAUUAAUUGGAAUUAUGCUUCCACUCGGUUUUAUCUAGGAUAAUGUUGUAUGGAGUUAAAAAUUGUAGGAAGACCCCCUCAAACAAUAGGCUGUAUAGAAAUAGACUUCUAAGUUAGUGUUUUUGUUUGGCACCACCUCAACUCUUUUUUCUUAUCUUACAUUACUUCUAAAUUGUGGAUUUCAUGAAGUUUGCCAUUGAUUCUGUAAAAUAUAAUAGCUCUAGCUACUUUUCAGAUAAUGAAACUCCGGAUUUCAUUAACAUCUAAAGGUAGUGCUGAUCGUCCCUAGUGCAAGUGGCAAAGGGCCCAAUGAUUGGUAUUCGAGGUCUCAAGUGCAAAGCCUAGUUGCUUUAUAUUUUUAGCUAAAUUCAUUUCUGGAAAAAAUAAUAAUAAUAACAAAGCAGGUAGCAGGCUAGUUUUCUCUCAAAAAAAAAAAAAACACUUAACAGUAGUAGCUAAUGAAGCCAUUUAUUUCAAUGAAUCCCUGAUGUAUGUUUGCUAUUAUCAUUACUGUCUUUAUAGCAUCUCUGCACACCAAUAUUUUGAUGAGAUAUUACAAAAACAUACAACUAGAAGAAAAUAUGUCAUCAAAGCAGCUUUCUAGAGUAACUCAAGCAACCAUCCCUUUAAUCUUUUUGUCACCAAGCUGAUUACUAUUGUUAUUUUCUUUCUUUUUUUUUUUUUCACAGGCCUAAGCUGUAAUUUGGAGAGGCGCGGCAAUUUUUGUAUUAUUUUGACCAAAUUAUCCUCCUCAAUGUUAAAAUUAAUCCCUUUCCUCUAUUUCUCCACUUCUCUUUUCUUUAUCCUUCUACCAUUAUCUACUUCUUUGCCACUUGAAACGCAAGCACUCCUCGACAUAAAGAGGCACUUAAAUGAUCCCAUGAACCAUCUUGCUAGCUGGAACAAAUCUAAUUCUCCUUGUCAAUUUUAUGGUGUCACCUGCGACUUAAGUUCCCAGCACGUGAUUGGAAUUGCACUUGCCAAUUUAUCAUUAUCUGGCUCACUAUCGCCCUCUGUUUCUCUUCUACCAAGUUUAGUUUCUCUAGAGCUUGGAGCAAAUAGCUUAUCAGGAAUUGUACCUUCCGAACUUGCCAACUGCACAAAUCUUCAAGUUCUUAAUCUCUCAACAAACAGCUUAACUGGUAAGGUGCCGGAUCUUUCAGCUCUAAAGAACCUUCAAGGUUUUGACCUGUCAACAAACGGCUUUUCCGGUGAAUUUCCAACAUGGAUCGGGGAAUUAUUAGGCCUAGUCGAGCUGGGCCUUGGAGAGAAUAAUUUUGAUGAGGGGUUUAUUCCACAAAAUAUUGGAAAUUUAAAGAAUUUGACAUGGCUCUUCUUGGGACAAUGUAAUCUCAUUGGCGAAAUACCGGCCUCCAUUUUCGAGUUAACUUCACUAGGAACAUUAGACUUCUCCAGAAACCAGAUCUCUGGGAUAUUUCCAAAAGCAAUUUCAAAUUUGCAAAAUCUCUACAAGAUCGAGCUCUUCCAGAACAAUUUGACUGGAGAAAUCCCUCCUGAGCUUGCAAAGCUCACACUAUUAUCUGAAUUUGAUAUUUCUCGCAACCAACUGAGUGGAGAGAUUCCUCCUGAAAUCGGUAGCCUUAAAAAGCUGAAAAUUUUUCAUCUGUAUCGGAACAACUUCUCGGGUGAAAUUCCUGAAGGAUUUGGGGAGCUGGAGUUUCUUUGGUCAUUUUCCAUCUAUGAGAAUAGUUUUUCUGGAAAAUUUCCUGCAAAUUUCGGUCGUUUCUCGCCACUCAACAGCAUAGACAUAUCUGAGAACAAUUUCUCCGGUGAAUUUCCCAGAUUCCUUUGUCAAAACAACAACCUUCAAUUCUUGCUCGCUCUUGAUAAUGACUUUUCGGGUGAAUUUCCAGAUUCUUAUUCAUCUUGCAAAACUUUGCAGAGGUUUCGAAUUAGUCAGAACCACUUCACCAGGAAAAUCCCCGACGGUAUCUGGGGAUUGCCAAAUGCAGUAAUUAUUGAUGUAGCAGACAAUGGUUUUGUUGGAGGGAUUUCUUCAGACAUAGGAGUUUCAGCUAGUCUAAAUCAGUUAUAUGUUCAAAAUAACAAGUUCGUUGGGGAGCUUCCUCCUGAACUGGAGAAUCUGUACCAGUUGCAGAAACUUUUUGCUUUUAAUAACAGCUUUUCUGGCCAAAUCCCUUCUCAAAUUGCCUCCCUCAAGCAGUUAUCAUCUUUGCAUUUGGAAGGAAAUGUCCUUACAGGACCAAUUCCUUCGGAAGUCGGGUUGUGUACUAACCUGGUAGACCUAAAUCUUGCACAAAAUUUAUUGGGAGGUACUAUUCCAGAAACACUAGAUUUACUUACUUCCCUCAAUUCGCUCAAUCUAUCCCAAAACUAUCUCCGCGGCUCAAUUCCAGAGGGUUUGCAAGCAUUAAAGCUAAGUUAUGUCGAUUUUUCCAAUAAUCAAUUAUCAGGAGGGAUACCACCAGAGCUUCUGCUAAUAGCUGGUGAAGAAGCAUUUUCUGGAAAUGACGGGCUUUGUAUUGAAGAGAUUCCCAGAACCCAGAAAUACUCUAGUUUAAGUUUUUGCAAUUCGAAUCAUGGCCGCAAUGGUGUUUUGGGAAGGCGAGUAGUUCUUAUGAUAAUCAUCUUUGUAGUAUUGAUUGUCCUUUUAGCUGGCCUGGCAUUUGUGAGCUAUGAAAGCUUUAAGCUCGAAGAACGUCGCAAAAGGAGAGAUUUUGAUGAGUGCAAAGGAAAAGAUUCAAAGUGGGUACUCGAAUCUUUUCAUCCAAUGGAGCUUGAUCCAGAGGAAAUAUGUAAUCUGGAAGAGGAUAAUUUGAUUGGAAGUGGAAGCGCAGGUAAAGUUUAUAAAUUGGAUUUGAAUAAAAGCCGAGGAACUGUUGCUGUAAAGCAAUUAUGGAAAAAUGAUGCAGCAAAAGUACUAACGGCAGAAAUAAACAUUUUGGGAAAGAUCAGGCACAAAAAUAUAUUGAAAUUGUAUGCUUUGCUAAGAGUAGGGGGAUCAAAUUUUCUUGUUUAUGAAUAUAUGCCGAAUGGCAAUUUAUAUCAAGCUCUUCGAAGGGAAUUUAAAGGUGGGCAGCCAGAGUUGGAUUGGAAUAAAAGGUAUAAGAUUGCUGUGGGGGCUGCAAAGGGUAUUAUGUAUCUUCAUCAUGAUUGCUCUCCGCUCAUUAUUCAUAGAGACAUAAAAUCCACUAAUAUAUUGUUAGAUGAUGAGUAUGAUGCAAAAGUUGCUGAUUUUGGAAUAGCAAAGAUUGCAGAAGGGUCGGAGCUCAGUUGUUUUGCUGGUACUCUUGGUUAUCUUGCUCCUGGUAUGCUUGCUGCUAGAGUGUAUGCACUCAUUUUUUUUUAAGUUCUUUCCCUUUUCUGAUUUAUUCCUUGCUUUACCCUGUCCUGUAGGGAAUUAAAAGAUCAGAGUAUUCAUCAGUACGCGCCAUUUUAUGUUGAUUUGAUUUUGUACAGAAGUUAAUUGGAAUUUUAUCCAUUUCUCAAACUAAGAAGCAUACAUUAUUAGUGUGUAUUCUUUAUUAACAAUUUAGAACAUGUGAAGUAUAACUUUGCUGUCAUGGUUGCAUUUCACCGCAGCAUGUAUCACAUAUAGAGAAGAAAUCGAUAUAAAUUUUUGCUCAUGAUAUUCCUUCCUAUUUCAAGAACAUAUGUUUGAUUUUUUCCCUUACUAAUUUUAAUUGCACAUAAUGUUUCUCAGAGCUUGCAUACUCUCUCAAGGCAACAGAGAAGAGUGAUGUCUAUAGCUUCGGUGUUGUCUUACUGGAAUUGCUCACAGGCCGCAGUCCAAACGAUCCUCAAUCCGACAAUGGAGAAGAUCUCGUCUGUUGGGUAUUGACUCGCCUAGACGGCCAAAACUUCUCAAAAGUCUUUGACCCAAGGGUGUCUAUUUAUGCAGAAGAAGAUAUGCUGAAAGUUCUAAAUAUAGCCAUUCUCUGCACGAAUAAGUUGCCGUCGGUGCGGCCUACCAUGAGAGAAGUAGUCAACAUGCUUAUUGAUUCUGGUCCUUGCUCUAUCAGGAAGAGAGCAAAGAGCUUUGGUAAUAACUGCUAGCUUUUCCUUAAGCAGCUCUUUUUGUAUAGGGGCGUUUACACAAAUAUCCCUGCAUUUAGUUACAUAGAUCCUAUGCGAAUUCCGAAUUCUCAAUACAUUCCCCAUGCAGCUCUUUGAAAGAACCUUAUCUUUAAGUUGGGCAGUCAUCGGAAUCCCUGGAGGGUUGAAGCUUGUUGUGAAUCUAAAAUGAAUCUAAGUGCGUCAUUUUCAUAACUACAAGAGCAUAUGCUUUAAUGAUCUUUGAUGAAAACUCAGAUUUUGCAGGGAACUGUGUAAACAGAGAAUCUGUAGGGAUGUAUGUGUAAAUUACCCAUGUUGUAUAAUAUCAGUGUAGUAAUGAGAAUGUUUAGGUAGUCUAGCUCAUGUACAAGAUAUUCAGUUUUAGAAUUGCUUCUUUUAUUGAUCUAGGAAAUGCCGUAGGAGGCAUUUGGUAUCAAUUUAGGACUCAACACUUGUAUUUGAUCAUCUGUAUGCUAGCAAUAGAUUUUCUUUUCUUUUUUUUAUUUCUCAAGCCCUAUGAACCAUGGAUAUGGUCCUGUGGAUAUCCGGUACAGGCGCGAUGUUACGACAAACGCACAAACGGAAACGAAAUGACGAACACAAACACAAUCAAACCAUAAGCAGAAAAAAUAAAGAGACACAGAUUUACGUGGAAAACCCUUUGCAGGGAAAAACCACAGGCGAGGGAGGAGAGAUCUUCACUAUGGAACGAAAAAGGGAAUACAAAGUUCUUCAGGUUACAACCAACCACGAUCACACGCCUCUAGGGCAUAAACGAUAAACGAAAAGAAAAAACUCAUAACGGGUUUCGGAUCCGAUCCGUACCGCGGGGGGCUGUCGGCCCGAGCCCUCCGCUACCCACCACAGACAUUCAUUUUUCCUCCAUAAUUUUCUUUUCUAAAUUGGUCGCACCGCGAAGCUGUCGGCAAGUCGUAAACCCGAACCUGAAUCGAUAGUAGAUUUCGAGUCACAUCUAACACGCGACAUGAGAUGCAGGAUACAAUAUGGUCAGAAUAUGCGUACGACAUGAAAGUUGAUCUACACACAUAUCAACAUAAUCUUAUGUCCUACAUGCAUGCAUUUGCACAUACAUACUAGAUGAUACCUGCAGCUGUGGGUAUAUAAAGAACUUCUUUGAUAGGUAAACACUAACUGACAAUCUGUUUCAUGUAAUAGUAAAAUGAUUGUUUUGCUCUAAAUACUUGACAUCAACAAAGGUAUCUCCAAUAUAUAUGACAACAUAAAAACAAAAUUUCCAUUGAUAAAGUAAAUACAUAGAACAUUAGAAUAUUCAAUCUAUAAAUCGUAAUGCAUUAUUGUCAUAGUGGAAGUAAAUUUGAGGCUCUUUAAUGACCUCUAUAGCCUUUCCAACAUAAAAAUGAGCAAGAAUUUUUUAAUAUGUUCUGUGGGGCAUUUUCAUUUAAUAAUUUUUAUUUACAAUUAACUAUCUACUGGGUCAUGAAUGUGGAUUGGAUCGGAUGGCUUGCAUGGUAUCACUUGUUGCAGGAUGAGAGUGGAUCAGCUAGUUAAAAAACAAUGCAGUCGAUUAAAAUGAAAGCCAACUAAGAGGUACGUAAAGUCUAAUUGUCAUAAAUCGAAUUACUCUUUCACAUUCAAUAUAUUGUAAUAAGUUGUCAACAUGGUGAAUCUCUACUGUGAUCUUUCUCUUCUGUUUUCUUCUGAUGUAAAUGUAAUGAUAGAAGAUGAGAUCUCUUCUUAGUAUCACUUGAAAGGUAUAACCCCUAGUGGUUUUUUUUCCUACUGUUAUGAUGAUUCCCUUUUCUCUUUUUUUUUUUAAAUUUUUUUGUUCUGGUGAAUUAAGGAUUCGACCUUGUGCUCUUCCACAUUUUUCUGCUCUCAUUUUUCGCUUUACGAGCUUUUUCGAUCUACAAUCCAAUGUACCUUUCAAGACCUAACAGCCCGUAUUAUAUUAGAUUAAAGUCCUCCCUUUCUCUCGAUUGUGUCGCUCCUGCUGGUCUCUUCAGAACAAGGUUUUAAGUGCCCGUCGGCACGAGCCGUAUCCACCGUGCCGUACCGUGCCAACAAGAUACCGGCACGAUACAGACCCCGUGCCGACGGCACAGUUCAAAACCCUCUAUUCUUUAAAUUAGUAAGUAAUUUCCUCAAUAAAGUUCAAAAGAUGUGAUAAAAAGACAUAAUAAAUAGUUAGAAUAUUUUGUUGCUAAAGAAAAUAAAUAUUUCAUGCUAUUAUGUGUCGGCACACAAGGUGUUUUUUUUAUCGGCACGCACCGUGCCGGCAAGUUUCCGGCACGACCCCGUGCCAUGGCACUUAAAUCCUUGCUUCAGAACUCUUAUUUUUGAAACCCUCAAUAAUAUUUCUCCACCAAUAUAUCUAUCAACCAUGAUUCCUAGUAGUUUUAUUAUAACCUUAUAUGCCACUAUUUGCAACCUAUAUAAGCCCCCUCAAAACUAAACUUUUUUUUUUAAAAAAAUUCAAGUUAGAUUCCUCAUUCCUAUGCUAUAUUCGAGUAGAAUGCAAGGAGUCUCUCUUAGGGUGCGUUUGGUUCGCAUUAUAAAAGAUUACUAGGAAUAAAAGAUAUCCGAGAAUCUUAUUACUAUUCAUCCUAUUACUAAGAAUGUGGAAUUCCUGUGUUUGGUUCACACAGUAAUAUUAAUUAGCCAUGUUAUUUAAUAUUACAAAAAUUAUACAAUUAAUUAAUUUAUUUAUUUAUUUAAUUUUAGAUAAUGUUACCAAAAGUUUCAACAUCUUUUUAGAAAAAAGAGAGAGAGAGUAUAAGUUAGAGAGAGAGAGCAUAAUUAAAAAAAUAGAAAAAAAAAUAUAGUCGAAAUUAGAGGAAGUGAGAGAGUUGAAAUUUUAGAAAGAGAGAGAGAGAGAAAGCUUAGUUUAGAGAGAGAAAAAAAAGUUGAAUUUUAGAGAGAAAAAUAAGUUUAGAGAGAGAUGUAAGGUUAGAGUGUAAAGAAAAAUAAUAUCAAUUAGCCGGCGGGUAGGAAGAAAGAAAGAGAUUAGACAUAUUAUGAUUACCCCAAUCCAUUAAUAUGAGGAUACCCACCCUCCCUCAAGGGAAUGAGAUUAGUACUUUGGGGUGAAUCUUAUUCCCAAGUAAAUCCAAUAUUACCAACUAGAUUACUUAGUGCGUUUAGCCAAACAUCGUCAUAUUUUUUUAUUCUCAUUGGAUUACUAGGAAUCUUUAAAAGAUAGCGCGAACCAAACGCACCCUUAAGGUAAAGUUUGUAAUGAAAAGACCAAGCUGGUAUUCUUUUUCUUUCUUCGAUAGUCCGAAAUUACCAAAAUAUGAUAAUGAAGCUUUCCUGCUGGAUUAUUCUGGUGCCUGGGUGGUCACAUUCUCGUAGGCCCCCAGAAAAGGAAAAAAGAAAAAUUGUGUCACAACAAUGGAAGCAACGCAUAUAUUUAUGUAUGAAGCAACAAACAGAUGAUGGAGUAGUGUCAAAGAAUUGCUGUUAGAAUGUCAUUUUACAUGCUAAUCAAAGAGUUAUCUUACGACAAGCAUUGACAAAUCCACAUUUUUCAUCAGGUUACUGUUACUAUUAAUAAAUUGAUAGUUGUACAUGUAUGUAUUGUUUUUAGUGGACUUGUUUAGUUGGAAAGGCAUAUUCUUUCCCUCUUUAUUAAGUUAAUGUGCAGGAAAUGUUAUUAUUCAAGUUUUCUACUUCCCAUAGCAUUCUCUCUUUAUAUAUUUUUAUGUAAACCUGGAUAAAUGUGUGUCCCACUUGUUGCAGGAUGCAAGUUUUGUUACUGUUUGAUUUUAUCCAGAAACAUGUACUUGAUAUCAGCAUUCCACAACAAAGCCUUCGCUUUCUUAGAUCAAAAUUACGCGACACCAGUCGCGUUCUGCGGUAUGAAUUCAGAGCUUUUCAACUCAAUUGAUGUCUCAAAUGAAUAGUGAUUUGAUUAUACUGAUAUCUGAAAACUCUGCUUAUAUGAUAUAAUGCCUGAACAAUAUCUCUGUUGCUUGGUUUUCUCUGGAUUGAGGUUGAAUUAGUCGGCCUUCAUGUUGAAAACUUUAUACAUCAAAUUGUGCGAAUUCGAAUGCACUCAGAGCUGAUGCAAGAGACUCUUGAAUUUCGUUUUUCUUUUAACUGUACUCUAUGCCCUAAACCCCUUUUACAUAAUCAUAUCAAUGAAUAUGAUUCAGCACAAUGAUCUAAACUAUUAUACAUUAUUAUUUGGGGUUAACAUUCUUUCUAUGCUGUGAUUUUUUGGAGCCAAUUUUUGAUGAUAGUUAUGUUUGCUUGUUCUCCUUCUCUUUAGAACAUUAUUUCUAGAGGAGGAUUAAAUUUAUUAGAUCUAGUGUUCUAAAUUGAUUGUUUUUUUUUUAAGGAAUAAUUGCCUAUAUACCCCUCAAAACUUUGAAAAUAUCUCAUUUGUCCAUACUAUUUUUUUUUUUCCAAUGUACUCCUCAUAUAUUCCUCCGUUAUUUCAGAAUAUUCCUAUAAUUAUCACCCGUUAAGUUAACUUAGGUUAAAUAUGAGUUAAAUAUUUAACAGAGUUAAAAAAAUAAUAAUGGCAAAUAAGAUAUGUUUGUGAUGAUAGAAGGGUAACUUAAGGGCAAAUGAGAAAUGUUUGUAAUGAUAGAAGGGUAACUUAAGGGUAAAUAAGAAAUGUUUGUGAUGAUAGAAGGGUAUAUUUGAAAAGAACAAAAAAUUAAAAUAUUUUUUUUGCCCCUAACUUAAUGGCAAAUAAAAAAAGUCAGUGAUGGUAGAAGGGUAUAUUUGAAAGGGCAAAAUAGUAAUUUUAUAGAAAUAACAGCUACUGCUAACAAUCUUUUUUUUUUUUUUUGAGAAAGGCAGCACGCUACCUGCUUCAUUCAUGCUAUCGCUAACCGUUCAUAAAUAGAAUUUAACUCUAUGGGUAUAUUUGAAAUAUGUUGAAAUGUAAAAAAGGUAUUUGAAAUAUUAGCCUUCUCUAAGGAGGAUAAAUCAGAAAAUCGAGAAUUUUUCAGGGGUAGAUAAGUAGUUGCCCCUUUUUUUUAAAUACCAAUCAAAGAGAAAAAUGUUGUGGCAUGAUUAAUUGAAUUUGGGGUUACAAAGAAAGCAAUUAAUAUUCGACGGAAGCACAAGUGGCAAAGGGCUUGGUGGUUGGUAUCCGAGGUCCCAAGUUCGAAUCCUAGUUGAUUCACAUUUUCAGCUAAGUUUAUUUCUAAAUAAAAAAAUAUUCGAGGGAUUGUGAUGUUGCUUGGACGGUUCAUACUCUCUAUUAUUAUUAUUAUAUAUAUAAUUUGAUUACUUAUUGACUUAGACUGGUCAAACCCUAUCACAUUAGAGGAGAGCUAACAAGUGGUUCAAAUUAUAUGUUUAACUCUUUAAUUUUAAUUUUAAUUUAUAUUCAAAAUUCAAAUUCCACACCUAAAUUUCGACCUUAAGUGUGAAUUUAACUUUUUUUAUUUAAAGAACUUCAAAUGGUUUAGUUAUCCAUUUAAUUUAAAUUCAUAUUUUAAAUUAAAGGGUUUGAAAUUUUUUGACAAUAAUUUAUAAAUUUUAGAAAAGAUUUUUGUUUACUAUUUGACAAUAAUAACAUCACAUGAUUAAAUCCUUCCCUCGUGAAGUCACGUAGCCCAUGGACUUUUUAACCAAUGAGGUAAUGCCACAUGCCUAUAGAAAAGUUUGGAUGUGCCCGGUUCACAAUAAACCGACUAUAAAUUGUACAUUAAAAAUAAAAUGUCGAUGAGAUAAUAAAUUAUUUAAAUAUUUUUAUUAUAUUAUAUUUUAUCUUAUAUUAAAUAUUCCAUCAAUUAUAUAAUAUUCUGUGCAGUAUACGAAAAAUUAGUAUGUAUUAGAUGCAAACAAAAAUUUCUCCUUUCUUUUGAAAUUAUAUGUGUACCGUACUAAGCAUUUUCUGCACCCGGAUAUAUUUAUGUAUAUUUGCCACAUGCUCAACAUUCUUUAAUAGAGAUUUUUAAAUUAAUACAUCAAAUAUAAUUUAAAUUAUUAGACUUUAUAAAUAAGGUAUAUUUAAUUAAUUUUUUGAUAAUGGAUCAUUAGUCAUCUAAUAUAAAUUGUAGCGUGUAGAGUAAUAAUAUGCACCAGAUAUAUGCAAUAUUUGCUUCUCUUCUAAUUAAUUUUAAUAAGGUAAAAGACAAUCUCACCUAUUCAUUAAUUUGAUUUGAAAUAAGUUCUUCAAUUUUAAUUUUUUAAUUAAAAAAAUUUACUUACAGGAUGGCCAUAAAAUUAUAAAUUUUACUAGUAAAGUUUUAAAUAAAAUUUUUAAAAUAAUUCAACUCUAUAAAUAUUAAAAUUUAAGAAAAUAUUAUUAUUUUUUUAAUGUAUAUAGGACUAUUUUAUAAUUUUUUUAUAUUUUUAAUAUAUUUUUUAUUUUUAAAAUUUUAAUAAUUAUAUAUUUUAAUUGGCUGAAAUAUUAUCUACCCGCCGCGAAGCACGGGUCCUAUACUAGUUUAGAAAUAUAAGGUACUCACCACUCUCUAAAGUUAAUAAAAUUAGAUCUUCAGAAAAAAAAAAAAAAAAAAAAAAAAAAAAAAAAAACUGAGCUAGUUUGAGGAGCCAUGUCGGCGAGCUCUCCGGCGCCAUCGAGUGCCGACAACACUUGGUACUNUUUAUGAUUAGAUUUUGUGGGUCACAUCAGAUUUAAAUUGUAAAUUACUUUUAUUAAAGAACAAUUAAUUUGAGGACUAAAAUUUAGACAUUGGUGCACCUGGUUUGGUGUAGCCAAUAAUUUUGCCCUCUCCAUCCAAGGUGGUUAGUAACAUGGCAUUUUUAUGGUGGCGACGUGGCACUGCCAGGGUGUCAUGUCACUGUCAAAUUAGUAUGCACUUGUUGAUUGAGUGAUCACAUCCCAGCCCACUGAAUAUGCUCCUCGCCGGACGAUCCUACAGCUCAUUUGAUGAUAAAAUAUAUUUAAAAUUAUUGAAUUAGUCGUAGGAUGAACGACGAGAUGUAGACGAGCGUGAAAUUGAGUAAUGGCGGGACUGGUUAGCGCGCGUGUGUGUGUGUGUGCAGAAAAAUUAUAUGCAUGCUCUGAAUAGAUUAUCAAAUCAUACUUAGGAGCUGUUUGAAGAUAAAACUUAAGUAGAGAGCUCUCUAAUGGCACUUUGUUGGAAUCCUCGUAUUCACUGUCAUGUGUUAAUUUUGCUUUCACAAAGACAAAAUUAAUAUAUGGCAGCAAAUCCGAGACCCCUCGAUGGAGCUCCAAAAUAAAAUUUUUCUUGCCGUUUAGUACGAGAUUUGUAAUAUUUUUAAAAUAUUAUAUAUUUAAUAUCCAGAAUAGAACUACUUUACUAAUAUUUUUCGCAAUCAUUGAACAUGAGUUAAAUAGUAAUGAUUCGAAUAUUAUCAAAAAAAUAUAUAGAGAAUUAUUGGAACAAAGCCAAACAUGCCAUCACAUUGAUGAUCCAAUCAUAUGAUGGGAUGAUGAACCCAAUAAUAGAACUUGAUUGGAGUGAUUAGGAAAGAUCAAACUAAAAAUUAUAUUAAAAAAAUAUAUAUAUAUUAUAUCAAAUCAAAGUUUGGGGGUUUAGGUGUGAUCCGUCUCAUAGUUUGAAUCCGAGUUGUGCAAUUUAUAGCCCAUAGUUAUUAUUUGAUUCAAAGCUUGCUUGAAUCUCAUAGUGUUUUAAUAGCUACAAUCUUAAAUAAAGUAUUUUGCGUAGAAAAAAGAAAAAAAAAAUGUUUAAAGUUUUUGCUACGUCGAAAAGUAGAAAUAAGAGUACAAGCAUCAAAAACAGAAAUUUGAUGUUUUAUUUGGUAUUGUUGCUAUUUUUUUUUUUUUUUAACUCUGUAAGCAUUACAUUAAUUCUAUAUAAUUUGAUAUAUCGUUGAAUGGACAGUUCUAUUGCUGUCAUAGUUGGUUAGGUUGCUACGUCCCACUCCACUCAAGCAAAAUGACAAUUUUACAAAUCUCUUUGAAUCCCAAAAAGAGCUAUUUCUAAAGUUUUAUUUUUUUAUUAUCAAACAAACAAUUUAGACAUAAAAAUUAGAAUAAACUUUAAAUAUCAUCCCUAUAAUUUUGCACUUUCUCAUGUUAGUACCCUAUAGUUUAAAGUGUAUCAAUUAGUAUUCUGUAGUUUUAUUUUUCUCUUUUCAUCAGCUUCUCAGUUAAUAUUUCGUUAAAUUAUAUACAAAAAAUUUCAGAUACCCUACCUAGAUUUAGCGAAUAUUCACUUUAGUACCUUUUAGUUUUAACUUUAUCACUGAUUCAACAAAAAAAAAUUAGUGGAAUAAAAAAAAAUGAGAAAAAUGAAAACACAGAGUAUUAAAUUGAUACACUUUAAACCACAGGACACUAAAGUGAGAAAGUGCAAAACCACAGGGAUGGUAUUUGAGGUUUUUUCUAAAAAUUAUAAGCAAUUCACGAUUCCAUCUUACAGUAUUUUUUAUGUUAGGAAAUUUAUUUGGAAAAACUAAAAUUACAAUGAAUGGUUGCAUUAUGAUUUAAAAGCAAGUUGUUAAGGAAAUUCAAAUGCAGUAAUUCCACUAAAUACUAACUAAUAGAACCAUGUAUAUCUUACAGCAGAGCCAAACAAACUCUAAACCAUAUUGUAAUGAAAAUAAAAUUAAAAAAAAUAAUAUGCAAACUAAUAAUUUUUUUAAAAAAAAGUAAAGACGUAUCGAACUUACCAGAACUAUGAAUCAUUUUUGAAUCUACUGUCCGACCUUUCAAAUUUUUGAUUUUAUUAUAUUACCUUUUAAUUUGUUUGAUUUGAGUCAGUCGAUAACACUUUAGACUUUAAAAUUUAAGCUAAUUACUUAUUUAUAUUAAUAAAUUUAUAGCUGUAAGAAGUAUGCUAAUUAAAUCUAUAAAAAUAAACGAAGAUGGAUUCAGAUUUUGAAGUUAAAGUAAUCUCGACGGACUCAACUCAAAUAAAUUGAAAAAUUGGAUAGUAAAAUCAAAAUAUUGAAAGAUUUGAUAGUCGGUUCAAAAUAGUCCAUAAUUCAAAUAAGUUCUGUACUUUAUUAUUUUUUUUUAAAAAAAAUGUAAUACAAAGGUCAAACCCUUAACAAAUUAAAAAUGUAUUUUGUGAAGUUUCUCUUCAUUGGGUUGUGCUAAGACUCACCAACCCUGCAGAGUAGAGAUUGAUAUUGGGCCCCACUGAUCUACCAACUAAUUAAUCCCAAAUAACAUCCCAAAUUAAUAAAUUUAAACCCACCAAAAAAAAUAAAAAAAAUGAGAAAUCAAACUUAGCCCUUUGUUUGUUUGAAAUUGUUGCUCUAAUUUUUAAAUUAAAACAUAUAGAAACCCCCUAAACUUUNACGCGAUCCAAAAUUGCUUUAACCGGAAAGGAGGUUGCGUGCAUCUCUUUUGGGCAUUUGAUUUUGACGAAGUAUUCAAAAUUGCCGACAAAAUAAAAAAAAUGAGAAAUCAAACUUAGCCCUUUGUUUGUUUGAAAUUGUUGCUCUAAUUUUUAAAUUAAAACAUAUAGAAACCCCCUAAACUUUAACCCGUUUUUAAUUUGAUUUACACUUUCUAAAUUCAUCAGCUAUUUGAUUUUAGCUUAUUUUGUCGGCAAUUUUGAAUACUUCGUCAAAAUCAAAUGCCCAAAAGAGAUGCACGCAACCUCCUUUCCGGUUAAAGCAAUUUUGGAUCGCGUGUAUUUUUUAUGAGUAUUUGUUUUGGUUUUAAUAUUUUUUUCCAAACUUAUUAAUGGAAUGUACUAAAUCAAAUGACUAGUAAGUAGAAGAGGUGUAAAUUAAAAUUUUUUUUAAAAAAAAUUAGGCGGUCAAUUUAAUAUACCGACAGAAUAAAUUUUUUUUUCUUAUUUUGAUGAUUACCAACUUGUAAGAUAUCUCGGCCAAGUGAUAGAUGACAAUUUAUGUAGAAAAUAAUUUCUAAGAUAAAAAUAAUUAGCUUUCAAAUGUUUAAAUUUUGAAUUUAAAAUUUCGAAUACUGGUUAUUAAAAUUUUUUUAUCACUUACGUUACGAACGGUCUGUUAAUAAGAUUUAUUUUUGGAUAUUGAUUCUGCACAAAUCAAAUGUGCAAGAAAUCCUACACGUCUGCUGAUUUGGCCAGCAAUCCCAAAGUGGAGGAGUGAGAUCUGCCAUUCUGCCAAUGAUUGGGAUGCAUCCUGCACUUCAAAUAAACUGUCAGAUUGCCUGUCUGCACUCCCAUGUAUGGAACACUUCCAAUCUAAGAUUGGCUGAUUUUUUUUUAAAAAAAAAAAAACUCUAGCUAAUUAAUAAAAAGAAAAAACUUCAAAAAAUGCUCCUGUAGUUUCGCACUUUUUUAUUUUCAGUAUCCUAUGAUUUAAAGUGUAUCAAAUUAAUACCCUGUGGUUUCGCACUUUCUCACUUUAGUACCCUGUGGUUUAAAGUGUAUUAAGUUAGUACUCUGUGGUUUUAUUUUUGUAUCAUGUUAGUACCCUGUGGUUUUAUUUUUUUAUCAAGUUAAUACCCUGUGAUUUUAUUUUUUUUAAUAAAAUAUUAAACCACAUGGUACUAAAGUGAGAAAGUGCAAAACCACAUAGUACUAAAGUGAGAAAGUGCGAAACCACAAGAUACUAACUUGAUACACUUUAAAUCCAGGAUACUAAAGUGAGAAAGAGUGAAACCAUAGGAAGGGUAUUUGAAGUUUUUCCUAAUAAAAAGCAUAUAAGCUCUCAUAUAAUUAAGCUAUAGGAUUAAUUACAAUCAAAAGGUGGUUCUAGGAACUGAAAAGGUGAUUAACACAUCCAAGAAUUUAAAUAUUAUUUUACAUUUUUAGUAUGAAAAAAAAGAAUAAAAGUACAACAAAAUUAGUGUAGAAAAGUAUGCCCUUUAAAGGAAUGUAAAAUUUACACUUUUAAGAUGUAGAAAAAGCAUUUCUCAAAUUUCAGUAAACUAGUCCAUGCCACAGUUAAUUAAUUCGCAAAUUAUUGAAAAUUCGAAUAAAACAGUUCGUAAAUAAUUUUGUCUCAAAAAAUUAGAAUAAAACGUAAAUUUUUGGGUUAGAUUUACUAUUCGCAAAUAAUUAGGGUAUGCCAAACUAUUCGGCUAAAAUAACAUGCAAAAUUUUUGAAUAAAAUCUCUUUGUCCAUUAAUUUGAGAAUUAUUGACAACUUACUUGCGAAUUAUUCACGAAUUAUUAAAAAACUUCAUGAAUUUUCGGAAAAUGUGGUCAUGAAAAAGGUGAAAAGUGAGACUCCAAUGAACCUUGCUUCUGCUCUUUUUACUUUACCUACUUUAUUUUGUAACUCCCUUUUUUUUUAUAUUCUUAAGAAUUAUAAUUGUUUAUGCUAGUAGCAAAAAUCUAGAGAAAAAAAUUUAAUUUAAUAGCUGAAUUUUUUAUCCCGAAUUUUUAAUUGGUGAACAUAUAAUUUUCGUUUAAAUCGCGUAUCUGAAUAAUUGACAAAUUCAUCUUUUAAACUGUAUUUUUUUAACUAACUUAAAAAUCAAGAUCCGAAUUUUAUUUAUGUUGUACCCGAUCCGAAUUAACUAGCUAUGUUCCACGCAGCAUGAGUUGUACUUCUCAAUCUAUUACCAUUUCAACACAAAAAGGUGUGGCCUAUUACAGAAAGGGAAAAGGGAAUAAUAGUGUUUGGUCACACAUAACAUUCACUACAUCUCUCUCUCUCUCUCUCUCUCUCUCUCUCUCUCUCUCUCUCUCUCUCUCUCUCUCUCUCUAGAUAAGAUGUGAAAAGUUGAAAAUUAUGUGGAAAAUGAAAGGUCAAGUGUGCCAUCCAAUUAUUAUUUUAUGAAAAUCAGCAUAAAGUAAUUGCAUUGCCUCCUCUUUUAUUAUUAUUAUUAUAAUACUUUCUAAUCACAAUUCGAGUUAUGUACUGUCUAUUUUUCAUCAUCUUAAUAUCACGAAAGAAAAAAAGCAAAAUAAAAUAAAACAAAAAAGAAUUUAUGGACAAACAAUAUUAACUCCUAUUCUCAAACAAUCCUCAUAAACGAAAAGAAUAAAUAAUAAUAAUAAUAAUAAUAAUAAGAAAAAAAAAGGACCUUUUCACACCGCUAAAUCUCCUCAAUUUUAGACUCGAAUCGGGCGAGUUGAUUCUGUACAAUCUUGUGUGUUGAAAAUUUUUAUCCCAAGGCAAACUUGGCAUACCAAUGAAUAUCCAUGUAACAUGCAAUUUUGCAUGUGAGUUAACCUGGAUGCUAGUUCAGCAUCGGUCGCGAAAUACAUUCGAGCCAUAAGUUGGUCAAUCCUUAUGCACACAGGAAUUGCUUACACGUGCGUAGAGAGAUGUCCGACGAACUCUGAUCCCUCAUCCUCCGCCAUCGCCGGCUUUUUUCCCUACCGAGCCUUCGCCUCGGCCUGGCACAAGCGCGGCACGCUCGAGCUCCGCAACCACUAACCGUCAUCGUCGCUCCCGCUGCCCUCGCCCUCACGCACUCGGCGCCGGCUCGGGAUGAGCGCUUUCGGCCGAACUCGUCUCUCACACGCUCCGCUCCGUUCGGGCUCGGCGGCCCCACCCUGCCGGCCACCACCUCCCCCCCCCCCGCCUCUAUCGCCGGCACCGCCAUCUCCACCACGUUCCGUGGCGACCCCAUCGUCGUCUCUACCUCUUCCCCUCCACCGCCGCCACCGCCGCCACAUUCUCGGUGUAUCGCCUUCCUCCCAGUGAUCAGCUCCAGCAGCACAACUCCGAAGCUGUAGACGUCGCUCCUCUCCGUGAGCCGCUGCAUCCGGUAGUACUCCGGGUCCAUGUAGCCCACCGUCCCCGCCGCAGCGGAGGCAACGCCGCCGAUCAUCGGCACGGAGAGCCCGAAGUCGGAGAUCUUCGCCGUCCAAUCCGUGUCCAGCAGUAUGUUCGAGGACUUCACGUCGCGGUGGACCACCGCGGGGACGGCGUAGGAGUGCAGGUACUCCAGGCCCCGCGCCGCGCCGAGCGCCGUGCGGAGCCGCGCCGCCCACGACGAGUAUAUCGGCGAGGGCGGGGACGCGGCGGCGCCGUGGAGGUGGUCGUGGAGGGAGCCGUUGGGCAUGUACUCGAAGACGAGCACGCGCUCGCCGCGCCCGCGGCUGUAGCCGAGGAGCCGCGCCACGUUGCGGUGGCUCAGCCGCGCCAGGAGCCCCAGCUCGGCCCGGAACGCGCGCUCCGACUCCCCCCACCGGCUCCGGCUCCGGCUCCGGCGCGGGGGGGGCGGUGGCGGCCCCGCCGCCGCCGCCGCCGCCGAAGUCGAUCCCCCGUCCUCGGCGCGCUUGACCGCCACCUCGCGCCCGUCGGGGAGGGCCGCGCGGUACACCGCGCCGAAGCUCCCCGCGCCGAUGCGCCGCGCCGCCGCGAACCCCUCCGUCGCGCGCUCCAGCGCCUCUAUCUCGAACUCCUCGCACCCGUACUCCCCCUUCCCGGCCGGCUCCGCCUCGAGCCGGUCGCCGCGACUCCGCCGCCGCCGCCGCUCCCCCGUCCGCGCCGCGUCGUGUACGCGCCGGUCGCAGGUCCCGAAGAAAGCCCCGUAGGCCGCCGCGCCGACCAAGGCGGCGGCGGCGGCGCCGAUCCCCACGAACCCGGCGAUCGCGAACGCGGCGUGCUUCCUCCUCUCCCCGCUCAAGCCGCCCCCUCCCGGGCUAGCCGAGCCCUCGGCGAUCCUGCAGGGCCGGCAAAUCGCGUCCCCGCCGCCGCCGCAGAGGUCGCCGGAGCCGGCCAGGACGCCGCAGGCGCACGCGCGCUGGGGCGCGCACGGCCCCGGCGCGACGCGGUCGAAGACGACGCGCCCGCCCGGCCCGAAGAGCCCGCCCCAGCACACCGCCGAGUAGUUGGCCAGGAGCACGCCGCACACGGCGCCGCCGCGGGCCUCGAUGGCCGCGAACUCGGCGCCCGCGAGGGCGCUAGGCACCGCGGCGGCGCCGCCCCAGCAGCGCACGGCGCCGCUCUCGGCGAGGGCGCACGUGCGGUCGUCGCCGAGCGCGAGGGCGGCGAUGUCGGCUGGGGGGUCGUCGUCGUCGUCGUCGUCGUCGGGGAGGUCGGGCGGCGCGCCCGCGCCCCAGCAGGCGAGGCGGCCGGGCCGCAGGGCGACCGCGCACGCGUGGCGCGCGCCCGCGGCGAGGGCGCCGAAGCGGCCGGGGGGGGCGUUGGCGACGACGGCGAAGUCGGUCCCGAAGCAGCGGAUGGAGGCGUCGGCGCGGAGGAUGCCGCAGAGGAAGUCCGUGCCGACGGCGACGUGGGUGAAGGAGAGGCGCGGGGGGACGCGGAGGUCCGGCCAGCGCCAGCAGGCGGGGGCGCCGAGGACGAUGCCGCAGACGUGGGAGUCGCCGGCGGAGAGGGCGCGGAGCGGGGGCCCGCGGUAGACGCGCUUCCCGGUUGUGCCGCGGUCCGGCCCGGAGAAGGACCACCAGCGCAUGGUGUCGACGGAGUCGGAGAGGGAGAUGGCGCAGAGGAAGCCGUCCCCGGCGGCGACGGCGGAGAAGGGGGAGGAGGAGGAGGAGGAGGUAGGUCUUGGUGGCGGCGGCGGGGAAGCUGGAGCAGGUCAGGGUCGGGAGGAGGAGGAGGGGGGGAGCUGGAGGAGGAGGAGGGCGCAGACGAGGGUGGUGUUGGGCCGGCGGGAGAUGGCGAGGGUGGAGAAGGGGGCGAGGAGGAGGCGGCAGCGGAAGGGAUGAAAGAGACGAGGAGGAAGAAGAACAACAAGCGUGAAUGGCGGUUACCAGUGUUUUUGAGAGGAGGAGGAGGCAUGGUGGGGGUGCAGAGUUGAUGGCCUGUGCAGCAGAGGAGGAGGAGGAGGAGGAGGAGAGGAGUAUUUCAUGGUAUAUAGAGAGAGAGAGACAGAGAGACUAAUUAACUACAUACUCACUACUACUGCUCGCUCUGCUGCUAACACUAACUACUACUACUACGGACGUGGUUUUUAUAUAAUAUUGAGGGAGAUCGAUGGAGAAUUAAGGUGGUGGGGGAACACGCGCGCCAAUGGAAAGACUAGCUCGAUUUGCCACUUUGAAAUAAUCCUUAAUUAGCAAAUAAGCCAGGUCUCGCUAGCUAGUUCUCUCUACAAACUCUCUUUAAUAACUUAAUUUCUGUGCACACUCAAACUCGUUCUCCAGCCCGAUUAAUUGAGAGUAAUAAUUCUGGAACUUCGCUGCUCCUCGCGAACAGCGCGUGUGGUGGACCAUGACAUUUAUAUUAAUUAAUCCUAAUCUAUAUAUAUAUAUAUAUAUAUGGCAGAAGAUAACUAGGUACUUUGCUCUCAAACUAGCGACAUAUAUGUGCUCUAAACUAGUUAAGACAAUUAUCUCACCAAUGCCAUGUAUGUUUAAUCUCAUCAUCUUUAAAACAAAAGGUAAAAAAAUCUAUGUACGUAUUACGGACAUUUCCAUAAGCUUCGUGUGAUGCAGCUUCCAAAUCGACGAUCGGCUCCGUUAGACUUGAUCUACACUAUUGAAAGUAUUUGAAAACUAAAUUUCAUAAAUUUUCGGCAUCAUUUACCUAUCAAACGAGUAGUCUAAAAAUGAACGGCUGAAAAUAAAAAUCUCUUAAAAAAUGAUGUUGAAAAAUUAUGAAAUUUAGUUUCCAAAUACUUUUAAUACGGAGGCGUUCAUGCUACCGAUAGUAUACCAGCUUAACUCUAUAUAUAUAUAUAUAUAUGUAUUUAUAUAUAUAGAGGAGAGAGAGAGAUGUCGAGAGAUGAGAGAGAGAGAGGAGAGAUAGAGGCUAGAGAGAGCGGAGAGAGAGAGAGAGUGGCUGGUAUGGAUUAUGGAAGACGGAGCCCUCGUGCUUCCAAGUGUUUUCGAUGUUUUUCGACUUUCGACAUACAACGAUCGGCUCUGUUUAGAGCUUGAUCUAGAGUUAUUUGAAAAUACCUAAAAUAAAAAUUUUGUGAUUUUUCGAUAUCAUUGUGCUAGUGAUCAAAGGGCUCAAAAUCAAUAAUUUAAGGCCGUGGUUGAGCGGUUGCAAGUUUAACGCGUGUAGAAAUAUCCAAAUCCAUGUAAUUUUUUCUGAUAGAAAAUUCUUAUUACCAGUUAUAAAACAAGAUUAUAACUUUGAUCUAAAAUUUUAUGGGUCAUAUCAUCAUUUUUGUAAAUGUUAUUUUCAAGCACGUUUUGAUUUUGAGCCCCUUUGAUCACUAGGCAAAUGAUAUCGAAAAAUCACAAAAUUUAUUUUCUAGAUACUUCAAAUACUCUAGAUCAAGUCUAACGGAGCCGAUCGUCAAUUCGAAAGUUCGAACAUCGAAAACAAAGUGGAAGCACGGAGCCCUCCGUGCUUCCAUAAGCAUCCUAGCCGCACUCUAUAUAUAUAUAUAUAAAAUAAUAAAUAUUUUAGUUUUUUUUAUCGAUGCAUACAAAUUUUUUUAAUUCUAUAAAAAAAAUUAUGUAUGGUGAGAAAAAAAUUUCUUAAAAUAUAUGAACUAUCAACAAAAAUUUUACUAACUUUUAUUCGUAUGAGAAAUAUAAAAUAUUAUAAAAAUAUUUUAUCCAAAUUAAUAUUUUAUAUAUAAUAAAUAUAUAUUAUUAUAUUAAUAAUAUUAUAUUUUAUUAGUGAUGUUCGUAUCGUAAUUUUUUGAAAACUGUCAAGUUGCCAUGCAUGUCCGAGUCGUGUCGUAUCUCGCAGCAUCCAUAAUACCUAGAUAAAAAUAAAAUGAAAAAAUAUAUAUUAGUAAAUUCUUGAGUCAUUAUAAAUGAGGUUGUAGAUAUUACAAUCUCUUUUUGGUUAUAAGCGUAUUCUCACAUUAUUUUAACGUAUGAACAAUCUUUUUUUUUUUGAGAGAGAUAUGUAGCACGCUACCCGUUUCGUUUAUUUUAUUUAGAAAUAAACUUAGCUGAAAAUGUGAAUCAAUUAGGAUUCGAACUUGGGUCUCGGGUACCAACCACCAAGCCCUUUGCCACUUGUUGUAGGGACGGUUGGUUAUUCAAUACAUCUUUUUUAUUUAAAUUCACGCAGUACUACUUUUGUAGUGUUUUGCUGGUCUAAACUAUCUGUAACGACCCAACCCGAAAAUUCAUAAGAUUUUGAGUUUAAAUUUUAAGUUUGAUAUUUAUAAAUGUAUUUAAACUUUAGAGUUUAAAUUUUGGUUUUGAAGAUAGAAUUUUAAUUCUAGCUGGUGAUGAAAGCUUUUCACCUUCUUCUCGGACAAUUUCUCUUCUCUCUCUCUCUCUCCACUAAAACCAAGCUGUCAAUGGAGGAGAAGUUUGAUUAUGAAAGCUACUCCCAUCAUCAGUGUUCAACUUGAAAUCAGCUUCGCCAUUUUGAUUUGACCUCAAAUUAGGGGUUAAGGUCUCUUCAUCUUUGAAGGAUCUUGGCUCUUGGUGGAGAGCAUAGAAAGAUACAAUUAAUUUAUUUAAAACAUACAUAAGCGUUCACGAGUUUCAAUUGUGACUCGGCCUAAUCAGCCUCCCGCCACUUCGAACACGACUCAACCUAAUCCGACCUCCCAUCAUUUCGAACGUAAUUCAGUCUGGCCAGAUCUUUUGUCAUAGGACAAAAUGAUGACCCCUGUAAGUCAACAUGUUCAAACUCUUUAUUUUCAAUGUUAGAUUUGAUACUUUUAUAAUGUUUAUUUAAUUUGUGUUUCUAUUUGAUUUCAAAUUUUAUUUCAUUUAGAAUUUGAUUUGAGAGAGUUUGGAUAAAACACUGGAAUCAUCAACUGAACUGUUGGCCCUGUCUGAACAGCAGAUCCACUGCCAAGUACAACAAGAGUCAACCACCCUUGAGAUGAGGGUUGACCGUUGGAGGCUACAGUAAACCCACCAAAAUUUAAAUUUUUGAAAUUUUGGAUUCUUUUAGGAUUGGUCUUAAUUGACUUUUAUGGUGCGAGUUUUAACUAGUAUUUUCACUUGGAUUACCACUUUAUUUUAUUCGAUUUUGGUUUGGUCAAGUUCGGACUCACGCAUGCAGUUCUAGUUAGUGUAGAGUCGACCGACCGACCGACAACAUGCCGUCGACCAAAAUGGAACACUGACAGAAUUCUAGCUUCGGAUUUUCUAAACUACCGUUUGGUUCGGAAUCAAGAAAAAACUAGUUAUUCCAGAAAUAGAGUUAAGUUCAGGAUAAAGGUGGGGUUAAAGUAUUUUUGUGUUUGGUUGAGAAUUGGAGUUAGUCCAGGAUUCAAAAAACAUAGUAUUUAGUUGAAGUAGGUGGGAUAAGAAGAAUAGUGGAUAAAAUAGUGUUUUGUUUGCUUGGAGUAGUGGGGUGGGAUGGGGUUAGCUAUGGUUAGCUAACCCCACCCCAAAUAGGCUAACUCGGGUUUGCUCAUUUGGAGUGUGGUUAGCUAAUCCCACCACCCUAAAAUUAUGUUUGAGAAUAAAAUCGGGGUUAGAGAGUUAUCCCAUCCCUUAACUCCGAACCAAACACAAGCUAAAGGUCGAUCGGCAGCAGCCAUGACCGGUCAAUCGACUAGUUUAUAGUCGAUCAUAUGAUAUGAGAAAAGAAUUUUGAUUGAAAAUAUAAGAGGCCUCACAUUUUAGUGAUGACUAAAUUUAAAUAUUUCGGACCAGUAAUUUAGACCUAACGAAUUAUUUUAGUUAGCAGGUCGAAUCACUACAGUUAGUAUUAGAGUCGAAUACCAACCGGAAGUGUGAGCCGAAUACAGUUAGGAUUUUGGUGUUUCAAUAAUUAUUUUGUUUCCUAUAUAAAAGUCUUGCAUAUAUAUAUAUAUAUAUAUAUAUAUAUAUAUAUAUAAACUUAAUAUAUAGUGCGUCUGGUAUAGCUUAUGGUAAGCAUAUGCGACGCUCCGUGCUUCCACUUGUUUCGUAUGUUCGGACUUUCGAAUCGACGAUCGGCUCCGUUAGACUUGUAUCUAAAUAUUUGAUAUCCUAGAAAAAUAAUUUGCGAAUUUUCGAUAUCAUUUGCCUAGUGACUAAGUGGCUCAAAAUUACACGGCUGAAAAUAAAAAUCUUACAAAAUAUGAUGAUAUGACAUUAAAAUUUAGAUCAAAGUCUAAUUAAUCUUGCUUAUUAUAUGGAUAAGAAUUUUUUAUCAAAAUUUUCAUGCGAUUGGGAUAUUCACACCGUAAAACUUGGCGACCUCCGGUCUACAGCCACGCGCCAUUAAAUUAUAUUUGAACCCCGUCAUUCACUAGGCAAAUGAUAUCGAAAAAUCGCAAAAUUUAUUUUCUAGGUACUUCAAAUACUCUAGAUCAACUCUAACGGAGCCGAUCGUCGAUUUGAAAGUCCGAACAUCGAAAACAAAGUGGAAGCACGGAGGGCUCCGUGCUUCCAUAAGCAUACCAACCUACUCUAUAUAUAUAUACUAGUCAUAUGCACGUGCAAUGCACCUGAGACUUAUUUGAAAAUAUCAAAUAAUUUUUUUCUAAAAUAUAUAUUCAUUUAAAGUUAUUAAUGAAAUUGAAGUAUAGACUAACUAUACUACUAUUCCCCAAUUAUUACUGUUCAAAUUAAUUGGACUUAAUUUGGACAAAGAUUUUAAUAUUUUUUACACCCUAAAAACAAUAUAUAUACACAAAUUGAUUUGAAGAAUAUCGUAAAAAUAGUAAUACAAUUUUAGAAGAAUUUUGAAUCCUAUCGCUCAUAUUUUGAAAAGUUUUUGCAUGUUUUAUACACUAUAUAUAUUUUAUAUUUGAUAAACGUAUAGGUAAAAAUAAAUAAAUAUAAAAAAAUAUGCUAAAAUAGUAUAAAUGCACAUUAAAAAAAUAAAAAUUUUCAGGUGAGAUCAAAAUACCUCUCUAACUAUGACAAAGGUGGCGAAAAUGACAAUGUGCUGGUGUUGACGAUAACAAUAUGCUACGAUGUACUGGUGCUAGCGAUGGGGAUAUAUGAAAAAUAUUUCAGAAAAAUAUAGGUGAAAAUAAAAAAGAUGUUACUAAAAAAAUAUGUCUUCUAAAAAAUAUAUUCUGUGUGUGAAUAAAUAUUAUGAUGAGAUAAAGAUUGGAUAGUGUAGAUAUUAUAUGCAAAGAUAUGUAGAUAUUAUAUGCAAGUGCAUUAAAACAUGUUCUAUAUUUGAGAAAUGCAUAAGAUAUUUUGGCGGGUAUUACUUUUGAAUAUUUUACUAAAAAAAAUUUAAAAAUAUAAAAUUAUAUUUAAUUAAUAAUUUAGUUUUGUUUAGGUGGGUAUUAAAUCUUUUUAGUAAUAUUUUACGUGAUUGGCCCAAGUAUUACGAAUGAGAAAGAAAAUAUUUGAAAAACACGUAAAUAAGAGAUAACGGAUAUUUUAAUUUAUGACGCGUUUGAGAAAACGUGUGUGAGAAACAAAAUAUUUAAGGUACCCCGUAGAUAUGAUAUAACGGAUAUUUUAAGUUAUAACGGGAAUUACGUUUGAGAAAAUGCGUAGAUAUUUGUAAAAUGCGUAGAUAGGAAAUAACGGAUAUUGAGGGUAUUUUUGUCAAGAAAAGUGACAGAUACUUUUAUUUUUAAUCGUUGGAUGAGAUCCAAUGGUAAAAAUUUAAGAUCUAUAUUUGAGAAUAAAUUAUUAUUUGAAAAAUUAUUUGAAACNAUAUCAAGUUAGUACCCUAUAAUUUUUUAAACCACAUGGUACUAAAGUGAGAAAGUGCGAAACUAUAUGGUACUAACUUGAUACACUAUAAACUACAGAAUACUAAAGUGAAAAAGUACAAAACCACUGGGUAUUAAUUUGAUACACUUUAAACCAUAUGGUACUAAAAUGAGAAAAAGUGAAAUCACAAUAGGGGUAUUUGAAGUUUUCCCUCGAUAUUAUAAUGCAGAGAGUUUUUAUAGUGUUAUGGCCAAAAUUUGGUUUGAACCGGCCGCAUUUUCAUAUAUAUAAAUUAAAUUAGAAACUUAUAUAUAUACAUAUAGAUCUAGAGAGAGAGAGAACGAGAGUGAGAGAGAGAACUAGGCUCCUAUAUAUACUUUCGAAAGUAUGGAGGCCUUCGUACUUGUAAGUUGUUUUCGAUGAUGAAGCAUUCGAUUUAACGAUCGGCUUCGUUAGACAUGAUUUAUAUAUAUUAUUGGAACUAUUUAGAAAUCAAAUUUCAUAAUUUUUUGACUUCAUUUGCCUAGUGAACGAGUAGGCUCAAAAUGAACAGUUGAAACUAAGAAUCUUACAAAAAAUAGUGUUGAAAGACGUAAGUUUAAAAUUGAAAGUAUUGUUCUUACUCUUGAUGUUAAAUAGAAUUUUCUAUUAUAGAAUGCGGCGGAAGUAUUAGUUCGUUCGUACCUUUUUCAGAAGUGAUUCGCGUUACAACUCGAUAAGCCCGGAUCGUCGAGGUUGAUUCACGUGUCCUUUGAUCGUCCUUGAUUAAAUCUUCUCACGUCCCAAACUCGCGAUGGAUCAAACUACAAACGAGCACGAUCACAAAUCCACCGUUCAAGUCCCUCUUAGAAUAAUAGGUUGAUGGAGGAUGUGGUUUCUCUCUUUCGUUUUCUUAUUCUUGCUUUUUUUUCCGUUCUCGUUCCAUUUGUUAUGUGGGAUCGCCCGCAUAUUUAUAAAGGAUUCCAAAAUCCUAAUAGCGUUAGAGAUAAGGUCAAAUCGGUUAUCAAUUGUUAUCCUAAUAUGACUAGGAUUUAUCUCUAAUUAGCUUUUCAAUUUGAAAGCGAAAUUAAUUCAAAUCCAAUUAGAUAACAUAAUAUCCGUCGGAUCGAACCCGCUUAUGGGCGUACCCGAUUCGAUUUAACCGAAUGCCAACAUCUAUUAAAGUUUCAUAUAACUUGAAUUCUUCUACACUUUUGAACUUUCAAACGUGCUACAUCGGCCGUUAAAUUUAGCCAUUUUUGAAACUCUUUGAUCACUUGGUAAAUGAUGCCAAAAUAUUAUGAAAUUUGGUUUUUAAAUAAUUCUAAUAGCGUAAAUCAUGCCUAACAGAGCCGAUCGCCGAAUCGGAUGCUCCAUCAUAAAAAACAACUUACAAAUACGGAAGUCUUCGUACUUUCGAAAAUAUAGGAGACGUACUCUCUCUCUCUCUCUCUCUCUCUCUCUCUCUCUCUCUCUAUAUAUAUAUAUAUAUAUAUAUAGAGAGAGAGAGAGAGAGAGAGAGAGAGAGAGAGAGAGAGUACGUCUCCUAUAUUUUCGAAAGUACGAAGACUUCCGUAUUUGUAAGUUGUUUUUUAUGAUGGAGCAUCCGAUUCGGCGAUCGGCUCUGUUAGGCAUGAUUUACGCUAUUAGAAUUAUUUAAAAACCAAAUUUCAUAAUAUUUUGGCAUCAUUUACCAAGUGAUCAAAGAGUUUCAAAAAUGGCUAAAUUUAACGGCCGAUGUAGCACGUUUGAAAGUUCAAAAGUGUAGAAGAAUUCAAGUUAUAUGAAACUUUAAUAGAUGUUGGCAUUCGGUUAAAUCGAAUCGGGUACGCCCAUAAGCGGGUUCGAUCCGACGGAUAUUAUGUUAUCUAAUUGGAUUUGAAUUAAUUUCGCUUUCAAAUUGAAAAGCUAAUUAGAGAUAAAUCCUAGUCAUAUUAGGAUAACAAUUGAUAACCGAUUUGACCUUAUCUCUAACGCUAUUAGGAUUUUGGAAUCCUUUAUAAAUAUGCGGGCGAUCCCACAUAACAAAUGGAACGAGAACGGAAAAAAAAGCAAGAAUAAGAAAACGAAAGAGAGAAACCACAUCCUCCAUCAACCUAUUAUUCUAAGAGGGACUUGAACGGUGGAUUUGUGAUCGUGCUCGUUUGUAGUUUGAUCCAUCGCGAGUUUGGGACGUGAGAAGAUUUAAUCAAGGACGAUCAAAGGACACGUGAAUCAACCUCGACGAUCCGGGCUUAUCGAGUUGUAACGCGAAUCACUUCUGAAAAAGGUACGAACGAACUAAUACUUCCGCCGCAUUCUAUAAUAGAAAAUUCUAUUUAACAUCAAGAGUAAGAACAAUACUUUCAAUUUUAAACUUACGUCUUUCAACACUAUUUUUUGUAAGAUUCUUAGUUUCAACUGUUCAUUUUGAGCCUACUCGUUCACUAGGCAAAUGAAGUCAAAAAAUUAUGAAAUUUGAUUUCUAAAUAGUUCCAAUAAUAUAUAUAAAUCAUGUCUAACGAAGCCGAUCGUUAAAUCGAAUGCUUCAUCAUCGAAAACAACUUACAAGUACGAAGGCCUCCAUACUUUCGAAAGUAUAUAUAGGAGCCUAGUUCUCUCUCUCACUCUCGUUCUCUCUCUCUCUAGAUCUAUAUGUAUAUAUAUAAGUUUCUAAUUUAAUUUAUAUAUAUGAAAAUGCGGCCGGUUCAAACCAAAUUUUGGCCAUAACACUAUAAAAACUCUCUGCAUUAUAAUAUCGAGGGAAAACUUCAAAUACCCCUAUUGUGAUUUCACUUUUUCUCAUUUUAGUACCAUAUGGUUUAAAGUGUAUCAAAUUAAUACCCAGUGGUUUUGUACUUUUUCACUUUAGUAUUCUGUAGUUUAUAGUGUAUCAAGUUAGUACCAUAUAGUUUCGCACUUUCUCACUUUAGUACCAUGUGGUUUAAAAAAUUAUAGGGUACUAACUUGAUAUAAAAAUAAAACCAUAGGAUACUAAUUUGAUAUAAAAAUAAAACCACAGAGUACUAACUUGAUACAAAAAUAAAACUACAGAGUACUAACUUGAUACACUUUAAACCACAGGGUACUAAAGUGAGAAAGUGCGAAACCACAUGGUACUAACUUGAUACACUUUAAACCAUAGGAUACUAAAAUGAAAAAGUACGAAAUCAUAUGGGGGAUUUUUGAAGUUUUCCCUAAUAUCAAUAUAUCCAUAAUUUAUAAGGGCGACAUUGUUGGGCACUUGUAAUUACACUCAAAGAAAGAUCCUUUUAGUCUCCAUUUUUUACUUAAAUGUUAAGAUUUUAAAAAGAUUGAAAAUUUUACAUAUGUCAUUCCCUUACAGAGAGAGAGAGAGAGAGAACAAAUUUAUGAGCGUUUCGAAGUAUUAUCAUGCAAUUAACCCAGCAGAUUUGUUAUUAAAAUUAUAUGAAUAUAAAAAUAUCACUUUUUAGCAGCUUUAAUUUUUAAAGAAUAAUAAUUAUUUCAGAUGAUUUAUCCGAGUACAAAGUUUUCUUUAAGCUUUCAGGAACAAGGACAUAUUUCAUAUAUAAUCACAAAUCAGAAAACAUUUCUCUUUGCAAAUCAAAUAAGGAAAAAUGUCUAGAGAAUAGUUUCAUAGCAUGCAAAUAAACAAAUUUCUCAAGCGGAAACAAUAUAUGCAAUCGCACACGACAAAAAAAUCAAAAUACUGGUUAAUCAAAGGGAAAUUUUCGAUUCCCAAAAUUUUAGCGCAUCUUACUUUGUCAUCAUGUCAUUUAAAAGAAUUUUACUUUAUUAUUCUAUAUAUCUUUUUCUUUAUAUCAAGUGAGGUACUACAGUACUACAAUUUGUAGACCGCAAAUUAAUGGAGUAAUAUAUUUUUCACACAUUAUCUUACUAAUCUAUAUUAUCAUUUUACCAUCCUAUAGUUUGUAAAAUAUAUUACUUAACUAUUUUUUUGGUUAUAAAUUUUAACCCUUUAGUAUCCGACCCGAUGACAGGUUAUUACAGUAAAAUAAGAAUAAAAUUACGGAAUAUCAAAGUAAAGUAUUUCAAACUCCGCGGUAGAGAACUGAAGAUGCGGUAAACCUCAAGGAUUUAUUUUUCAAUCAUUUCUCUGAGUCAUUUUUGGUCUUAAUCGUUUUUCAAAUCACUUCUACUGUAGAGGAAAUAAAAGGAGUAGAACAUUUCAACCCUUGGUGGUUAAUAAGGUGUGAUUAAUGUGAAAUGCAGUGUGUGUGUGCGUGCUUGAUGUGGUGGUAAUUACUUAGUCAAAAAAAAAAAAAAAGUGUUAGGUGAGCACACUAUGUCCAAGGUAGAGUUAGAUGGAGACAACAAAUAAUUAAGAAAUAAGAGAACAUGUUAAUUUCUAUAGUUGGUUUUGUGCAUGUAAUUAAGAAGCGACGUAUAAUUUGGCCAACACUUUAAUACCACAUUUUAUUUUUUGCAUUAACAAUAGCAUGAAUAAUAGAGCAGAACUUUUAAAUUCUAAAAUAGACUUUUUGCGAGGUUUUAAGUUCAGAAAAAAGGAGGCGUGAUAUAUACUGGAAAUCAGAAUUUAUUCCUCUGGAUGUAUUUUUGUAACAUUCGAAAAAAAUUGUAUGUUAAAAUCGUAAUUUCUGGGUAACUAUUUCUCAUGGAUCAAACAAAAUUCUUUUUGAGGAUUACUUGUUGCGAAGGUUAUUUCCAAGCAUAUGGUUUUUCACACAUAGAUUCUUAAAUGUUCUAGAACAUCUAAUCUCUUCAGUUUUAGAAUAUAAGAUACAUAUAAUCAUUGGUGUAAAUCUUACGCCUCUGCCCUCUUAGAGUUCAUAAAAAUUCAAAUGAAUUUUCAAUAAAUAAAAUAAUAAUAAUAUUAGUGGGAAAGAAGAUAAGGAUAAAACUUCAGUGACAAGCUCCCCAACGAUGCCUUGUUGGGCUCGAUCCUCUAUCAUGUAUUAAUUUUGCUUUCAUCCAAGAGUCUGUGGGUGUUCUUUAGCACUACUCAAAAAAAAAAAAUUUAAAUUCUAAAGAAACGUAUUAUAACCUUUAGAUAGAGAUAAAACUGACACAUAAAACGAGACAUUGUUGGAAAGCUCCCUACAAAAGUUUUUUUUUUCAAAAAUAAAAGCUCUUGAUUGAGUGGGGUGUAAAAUCUACACCUACUCUAAAGAGUGUACAGACAGUAUUGCUAAUUUAUAGCUAGGGGGAGACGAGUAAUACGGUGCACCUACACCUGGUGCAGGCAACAAUUUGUCCAGGUCAUGUUGGCCAAAACAUAAAAAAAGAAAAAAGAAAAAAAAAAGCUUUCUUGUGAUGGUUCACCAUUGCUUCUCACUAAAGAAAAUUCUACUUUGAACCUAAUUAUAAUGGAUGAGCUACACAGCAAGUAGUUACUGAGGAAUUUGCUUAUCAAUCAAAUCAUCAUAAUUAAAAUAACAAUCAAAGGCCUUGUCCGGUGGUUGUUAUCUGAAUUGCUGUUCUAGAGAUUGAAAUUCAAUCUUCUUUUGUGAUUACACCAGAAAACGAAAACAAAACCAAAAAAGGAAAACCGCAACACCGACUGGUGGUUGUUAUUUGAAUUGCUGUUCUAGAGAUUGAAAUUCAAUCUUCUUCUGUGAUUACACCAGAAAACGAAAACAAAACCAAAAAAGAAAAACCGCACCACCGACUUCGUAGAUAUUAGAAUAAUACAUGAACUAAGGAUAGUCCAGGAUAGCCAAAAAAUCAUAAAGAAAAUAAUAAAAGGAAAAAGUGCAGAAAUCCCUUCAAGUUAUUUAGCUCUUUUACAAACUUUCGAGCUUUUAUUUCCGAAAUUAGAUCGAUCUCUCUCUCUCUAGUUUAAAUUAUUAAUUACACAACCAGAUUUGAUCGCAUGACUCGUAUAAUCUCACAAAGCUUUAAAACACAAGAUAACCAAUGGCACCACCAAAAGAAUCCCAAAACACAAAUUCAAUGAGGUAAGGAAUAUCUACAAAAUGUCCAAAAAGGAACAAAAAUCAAAAUAGAACUUGUAUGAUACAGGAUUCUCUAUUGUUUCAUUAGUGUUGCUACAGCAGCAUGGAUGGGGCUUUCUCGAACCGCAACGGGGCGCCGGGCUAACGAGUGCGGUCCUCUCCACAGGGAAUUAGGGUUGCUCGGGAAAAGGCUCGCGCAUAACUUCAAUACCAUGUGAUUUUCCUGCUGCGCGAUAUUUUCUUCGGUUUUCACCUGCUCAGCCCUUUCAGCAGCUUCCUGCAGACAAUAACGCACCACAUGGUAAGUACAUAAUCUCUCUCUAGGGCAGCAUAUAUAUUGAAAAGGGCCAUUUUGCAAGACGAAUCCAUCUAUUUUUUUUUCGAUUCGCGAUUUUGAUCCACUUUUUUUGGUUCUUCGAAAAUGUUCGUAAUGGGAAUCAAUGAUGUAUCUAUUCAUUACAAUGAGCGUCGGGGGAAUCCAAAUCCGUCAAAGUCCGACUACCAUCCGAAAUUGCAAAUAAAAACAAGGGGAUCCAAAUACAUAAAGACCAAAAAAAAUGGUGGUAAAAAUAGUCCCAUCCCUAGAGAAUUAUACAUAUAACCAAAAUAAAAUGAUAUCAAAAAAAAUAUGUAGAGACAAUCAAGUGUGGCCAUGUUUGUUACCUCGUGCGGGUGAUCAGAGACUAAAUCCUCCUUUUGCUGAGUGGAUGUAAUAUUCUCCAGCUCAUUUUGAUCUUUGUAUUCGUCUUCAUCAUCGGAAGGUUGGUUUGAAUCAUCAGUUCCAUCCUCAUCGCGUGGCAAUUCCGACGGUUGAUUAUUUACACAAAUUUCCAGAUGAUCAACUUCCAUCUGAUUUUCGGUGACCUCGGGCUGAUCUGUUCGGGAAACAUGGAUCUGCUCGAAAUUUUCCAUUUUUUCCUCAUUUUCAGCAUCCUCCGUCUCGCCAUUGGCAUUGGGCUCUGGUGAAUGGUCCGAGCUCGAGGUUCCAUCAUCGCUACCAGGGUUAUCGGCGGGAGAGCUUUCCUGAAAUCACGUCAAAAAAAAAAUGAUAAAAAUAAGUUGCAAUCUACAGGGCAGUAGCUAAACAAAUAUUUAAGAAAGUAAAAGAAACGGAAAAGAAAAAGAAAAAAAAAUGGAACCAACCUCUAGUUUAAACUGCUGCGAAAGAUUACCAACAGUUAUAGCCAUCUCAUUCUCAACCACUGCAGAGUUCUCUUCACGUUCCUUCCUGCGACGCCUUACAACACAAACAGCGCACAAGCAGUCGCCUUUAUGGAGAUCAAUCCUGCGCCAACAUAUGUUAUAUCAAAAUUCUAAUGAAAAAUGGUAAUACAUUUUGUUUUAUAAUAAAAUGUAGGAUAGUAUACUUGCAGAGUCUCAAAAUUGUAACUCAGUCGAUUAGUCCCUGAAAUUUCUACAUAAACACUUCAGAACCUUCAGUCAAAAAACUAAAGUUCACCUAGGAUUCUUUUAAUUCAAAAAGUUUUGGUUAAGGCAUUCAGAUUAUCUGAGAAGUUGCUUCAGUUAAACAGAUUUAGCACAUCAAAUUAACCUUCAAAGGUCCCAGAUUUGCUAUACACUGUACUAAGAAAACCAUACAUUUGUUAUAGAGUGUACCGUACUACCAUGCAAGUUGAAAAGACCAACAACAACAAGAACAACAAAAUCUUUUCUUAUUACUGUCAUCUUCUUAAUCAAUUCCAUUUUCUAUGUUUUGAACUCUUCUUUUCUUAUAUCUUACCUUAUCAAUUUUCCUUGUUCACUUCAUUACGAUGCCGAAAGGGACAAAAAUGUAUGCAGUAUCAAUAAAGCCAGUAAUCACUUAGCAGCUUCUCAAUUCUUUGGGUGUCUUUAGAAAUAUAAAAGAAUACAUAUUCAAUCUCAAAUAGGGGGAAAAAGAACACAAAGUAGAAAAUUUAGUUACCCAUACCGUCGACGUUUGCGCUUUGACUUGCCUUUCUGAUGCACCUUUUCCUGACCAGAUCGAGAAAUUUCCUGAACCUCACUGUUCUCAGCAGCACCUACAAAAAGGAAUGAAGUGUUUUCCAUUUGCACCUUUGGGGUAAGAUUCAAACCAAUAUGAAAUAAAAUAAAACUAAAGAAGAGCAAAAAUGAAGGCAUGAUAAAUAGAUCAUUGCAAAAGGGCCUUGAACUUCGGAGUGCACCAAUAACUGACUGGAAUGGUACGAAUAACAUAUCAUAUGGGAAACUGGCGGAUAAAUUUGAAAUUUGAACGCUAUCGAAACUAAAUUUAUAUUGAGAAAUUUUUGUGAAUCAUCCCACAAUUGGAUAAAAUCAUAUCACGUGCACAAAAGAUGAUCCUUUGUCAUGUUGCCAACUUUGUUGGUAAAAUGCAGUAGAUGAUCCACACAAAUCAUAUUUCUCUCUCCUCAUCUACCUAUCUUUUCUCCACUCUAAAUUUCAAAAUACUUAUUGUGCCUUAUAUCCCAAUCAAAAUUCUGUGAUGUUUUGGCAGUAAAAAAAUAUGAGAUGAAACAUGUACAACAUAACACGAACAAACAACGAUCUACAAAAAGUGAGACAAAUCCCAUUUACUUUAUUGCUUCAAGUUCUCGACUAAAUUUCAUGUAGUUUCAAAAACAAAAAAAAAAGAGACUAAAAUCACACCUAGAGAAAGAAAAAGCCAUGAAACUUGAUCUUACAAUCUAUACAAGGAAUCGAAAAAGACAAUCUAAAAUUCAAUUAAUAACAUUGAGUUAUAGAAUAAGCACGUAACAGUAUAAGUACCUACAUAACAUUACAGUCAGCAAUUGCCUAAUACUUACUAUUAUCUGGCACUUCGGAAUACAAGCCUGCUGCUGACCAAUACUUCAUGAAAUUCUUCUUCACUCGUUUCAUGAGAUCCACAAUAUAAUCACCUUUAUUAUUAUACUUGUAACAGUUCUCCCAUAUAAACUGCACAUCCUUGUAAACAUCUUCUGAGUUCAUAUAUUUGCGACCGUUUUCUAAAUCAUUACAUAUGGUUCCAAAAUCCAUAGGAGUGUCAAUAAUGUCAAAAUAAUCCUGGAAAAGAGAAGUCAGAUAUUGGUCAAAGUACAGCAUAUAACUUUAUAUUGAACUUAAUUUAUUCUGUAAAGAUCAACCACGAAUGAGAACCAUGCAGUGGAAAUCUAAUAUAACAAAUAAAAAGUUACAUGCACAACCAACUGAAUAGAAAGGCUACAAACCCUUUUCGACAAGAACAUAUAUUAGUGAUAGAAAACAAAUAGCGAACACCAAAUUUACGUAUCUAUCCAUAAAUCAGACCCGUCUUUAAUACUCCAACAUUAGGUGAAGUAGUGAAAAAUUCAGUAAUAUAGAAUUUUAAUUUAGCAGAGCAAACAGUCAUAUGAAUGUUUAUUCAUCAUUAGCUUUCCAAACCGUAUUCUGUACACCUAUGUCAUGCAGAAAAAAACCAAAAAAACAAAAAGACAAAAAACAAAAUUUACAGCAUUGUUCAGAAGUUUAAGGUGGUCAAGUCAACUCAAACUUGCAAGAUAUACAACCAUAACAGAGAAUUUAGCCAUACCAAACUAGAUGAUUUAUAUAAGGGUCUAUUUUUACAAUUUGAAAUUUAACUUUAAAAGUCAAAUUUUAUUUUCAAAGUGAGCCUGAGGCUACAUAUACUUAGAAGCUAACUGUGCAAGAUACAGUUAGCUUUUAUUAUCUGCCUGCUAAUUUACCCCAACCAUGCUAAAGAAAAAGCAGAAUAAUACACAAUAUGUUCUACAUAAAUAUCAGCAGGACACUAUACUUACAGGGAUUCCUAGAGCAACAGGAUUAACGGGAGCAUUGAAGGGCCCAGCUGCAUCCAUCUUCAUAACUUUCUUAAUCACCUGAAAUACAACAUCAUCAUCCACAUGAAUUCUCAUUUCAGUGAUCAGCAUAUUCAGAAUGAUGAAGCCCAACUUGAAAAUUAUCACCCAAUCCUGGUCCACCACAUCAAGCUACAGACCACCCAGUGAUUUUACUUGGAAACCCCACCAUCUAGUAAGUUUCAGCUUCUUUUUUGGGGGGGCUCUUUUUUAUUUUAAAGUGGUGAAGAUUGUAUGUGGGGGGGAAAAAUGAGAUCAGAUCCCAAUGCAGUCCACAACAUGGCGGACAAGUUCCAGGCAAUAAUGAAUAAUCUCUUCAACUCUUACCGCUAGUGCUUCAGACAACUCCUUUUCAUUAUAGCGAGGAUCCUUCUCUCUUUGUAGUUUAUUCGUCGGCACCGAUACAUCUGCUUUUUUUUCAGUUGAAGAGACUAAAACCCUAGAUGUCUUGAUCUUAAUACUUCCCGUUUUUCUUGGCAGCGAUGUUUGCCCAUCUGAGUAUGCAGUGUCUUUCUCUACAGCUGCAUCAUUCGUCUCAACUGGAACUUGCAGAUUAGAUCUAUCGGUGUCACUGUGUGUUUGUGCAUCUGAAGAACUUCGGUGAGGCUCUAAAACUCUCGAAGAUUUUAGCUUCACCUUAAAACGGCCAUUUCCUGGUUUCCCUGUUGAUCCAUCAUUUGAUGCAUCGACACCAGUAGUUGACACGGUGCUGAGCUUCUCUAAUAAAGUAGCAGAUUCAGGAACUGCUUCUGAAUUAUGUUGAUCACGAUCGCUCUGACCCAAUUGACUACUCUCUUCUGUGUUCAGAGAGACCGGAGACUUAGUCAGAUCUUUUACCACCAGUUUUUUAGCCCCUUUCUUGUGACCUGUUCUCUUUCCACGCUUGCGUUUCAUGAUCUUCUUUAUUAGUCAAUCGAGCACCGUCAAAAUGUAAAUGAGCUCUGUUCCUCUGCCAAAUGCCACUAAAAGACGUUCUUGUCCCUGAAACAUGAAGAUUAGUUAUUACUAAUAGUUCUAAUAACCUACUAGAAAAGGACAAAUAGCGGUAUCAUCAUAGCUAAACUUUUAAUCAGCAAAAAGCAAGAGUCAGGUAAAGAAGAUUCUAAAACACAAUUAAUUUCACGAAAAUUUUAAUAAGCAACUCACUAGCAAUUAACAAAAGCAAAUUAGAUGAGUAAAUGAUUUACUCAAGAGUGUCAAAGUCAACCAGAGAACAUAUUAAUCUAUUCGAAUUAAAACAGUAAAUAAAACAAUUAAACCCCCCGAGCACACUAAUAUAAUUCCAGUUGUUCAAUGUUCUGAAAUUGGAAGAUUAACGGAAAUACAACAACAAAAAGAUGCAUAAGUGCUUGAUCAGAGCAUCACACUACUUCAUCUUUAUUUUUUCAACAAAAAAAAAGAAAUUUUUGCUACUUUUAAUUAGCAAAAAAGUUUUUGUCACAGCUACCAAAUCAGAUACUCCUCUCCUAUGCCCAGGAAACACUAUUCGCCAACUUCAAAGUUCUUAAAAGUAAAAAAACAAAUCUUUCUCACUUGCAUUCCAAAUUUCGGAACAAUCACGCGCCGAAUUCAUCGCUAACUUUCGUGGAACAUCAGAACCCUUAGUUUUGCAGGCCAUGUGUACACUAAUUAUUCUAAGUCCAUAAUUUUGUACUUAAUGACGUAUUCCCAACGCCUUUCUUAGGUUUUUUUUUUCUUUAGUAUCAAGACUUGAAUGAUACGACAGUAAACUAAAUAUAAAAAUAAAAUAAAAAAUCGGGUAAAAAAAAAAACGCACUAUUCGUCAGUGCAGUAGAAGAAUAGGAAACCCUAAGCGGAAUUAAUACGCAGAAACCUAAAAACAAGAGCAAACAUAUCCCUAAGCGAGAGAGACAUCGAAGAAACGAUUCAUGUAUCAUUAACGAAGCGAAGUUAGCGACAGAGAAGCAAAUCGAAGCUCAGUUUCUCCAAUCGAUGAGGGUUUCUACGGCGGAGAUUAGGGUUUCCAACAGGGGUUUUGGGCAGGAGAAGAAGAAGAAGAAGAAGAAGAAGAAGAAGAUACCUCGGGAAAGCUCGUCGGGGAGGUGAGGAGACGACGGCGGAGAGAGGCGGCNCGGAGAUCGGCGGCGGCGGCGGCGGCGCCGCGGUGGCGACGGGGGCGGAGGAGGAUGUUGGGGGGAGACGAGUUGGGCUCGCGUCUUUUCGGGUUUGGGCUCGGGUUCGAGUUAGUUCUAGAACCCAAAAAAAAAAAGGUUAGGGGCCUUAGGGCCACCGUCACGUGCCGGGACUUGUGUAGCACGUGAGUAAAGGGUCCGAGAUAUUACUACGUGAACCUGGUCCACCAUGUCAUCUGUGGACCGAAUCCUCUCUUUCAAAUCACCACCGCCCAUCUGUUGACCGAAUCCUCUCUUUCAAAUCACCACCGCCCACUAUUGGUGCUGGUAAAAUUAAUUUUUUGAAUUCCGUUGUUUGUUUUGAUGUAAGUAAGUGGUAUAAGUUGUUUAAGGCUUCGUUCGAUUCGGGGUUAAAUAAAGAACUAGUUAUUUAAGAGAUAGGUAUAAGUUCAAGGUUAAGUGUGAAAUAAACUAAUUUUGUGAUGAAAACUGGAUUAUUCCUAGAAAUAAGAAAAAUAGCGUUAAAAAGAAUAGUGUGUAGUUAUAAACAGAAAAUAACUUUAUAUUUGAAUUUAAAUAUUUAAAUUUUAUAAUUUAAAUUUUAAAUUUAAAUAUAUAUAUAACUUUAAAAAUUAAAAAUUCAAAAUAAAAUUUGUUUUUAAAAUCUCAAAUUCAAAAAUUUAAAAUUCUAAAUUUUAAAUUUUAAAUUAAAAAUAUUAAAUAUUAAAUUUAAAAUUUAAAAAAUUUAAAAUAAUAUUUUAAAAUUUAAAAUUAUAUGUCUCAAUUUUAAGCUUACAAAUUUUUAAAUUCAAAAAAUUUAAAAUAUAAAUAUAAAAUUUAAAAUUUAAAAUUUAAAUUAAAAAAUAGAAUUGGGUGGGAUUAAAGUUAAUCCCACCCCAAUUCCAUAGAGGGGGUGGGGUUGGUUAAACCCCACCCCAAAAGGGUUAUUCCAGAGUAACUCUUUUGGGGUAGGGUUAACAAACCCCACUCGCCAAAAAUAUUGUUUGGAGUUAAAGGGGAGGGAUAACACUCUUAUCCCUCCUUUAAUUCCAAACCAAACAGAGGUUAAGGGUGUUUGAUUCCGCUACAUGAUCUAAAAAUAUUUUUACAAAUUUAAAAAAAUUUUAAAUUUUUAUUUUUUAUUAUUUUUUGGCGAAAAAAAAAACUAAAUAUACAAAAAAAAAAUUAUUUAUUUUUUCCACCAAACCAGACAAAUGUAUUUUUUUUUUCCUUUCAACCAAAUAAAUAUUAAUAAAAAUUUAAUUUUUUCUACAAAUCAAACACUAUAAACGUAUAAUUUCUUUCCACCAAAAAUUUUUUUCACGAAAAAUUAUUUUUUUUUUAUUUUACGUUGAACCAAACAGACCCUUAACCCUUUCUCAUUUCUAAGAAUCCAUUAAUUUCCUUCACAAGUGGUGGAGAUUCAAAGGGGAGAAACAAUGGACGGUAACGGAUCAUUUGGUUCACGAAUGAUAUGGUGGACCAAGUGUAGGCAAUAUUUACGAGAAUAGUGGUAUAAAUAGGCCGGUGGGCCCGCUCGAGCCCCUUUUUGAACAAGAACUGGGCCUAUGCAUGGCCCGGCCCAAGUAAAAACAAUUUAAAAAUUUUGAUAUGGGCUCCACCCAAUUAGUUCCAGGUUGCUCCGGUCAAUGCGGGUUUCGGGUCCUCGAGUUUGUUAAGUCAAUUCGGGUCGGAUCGGAUUCUGGAAUCAGAAGACACAUAUGAAUGACAUAAAUUUGAACUGCACCUUUUAUUGCCAAAUGAUUUACUCAUCAAAAUACUUAUCAAUCAUCAAUUACACAGCCUUUGUAUACAAAUCCGAAUACUAAAAGCACAUCCAUCGUCGAGUAUCUCAUACAAGACCUAAAAAUUAUUACAAAAAUACAACACAAUUCAGUAGUUCUCGGUGUAAUAGCUCAGUACCGAUCAAUCGGAGGAAGUCGAGAACCGAUAGGAGGCAUAUGAGAUGGUGCAGUUUGUCCAGCUGUGGUGAAUAAGCUCGGCCUUGGCUUUCACGCCCGCGGCGCCGAGAGCUACGUGAAGAGGGAAUAAGUGGUCCGGCCACGGGUGCGCCAUUUUACCGUACGGCGCCCUCUCCUCGAAGUUGUUUAUAUCGUCGUGUCUACGAAACAGCAAAGAAAAAGAUCACCAGUGAUGUGAAUUAAAUAGAACAAAAUAUUAGACCUCACUGAGAACAAAGCGGAUUUUAUGCAGACGAAGUUACAGAACAGAAUUUGAGAGUUUCGCAAGAAUCAGAAGUGACAAUUUCCGACACGACACGACAUGAUAAAGCAGCUGAAUAGAUCACAAUUAAAAAUUGCUGCGAGAAACUCGAGACUACGAGCCCGAAAAUACAACAAAGAAAUAAGUUUAAGCUUUUAAACAUUUAAGGUAAGUUAUGAACACAAUCUUAAAACUAGUACGAGAAUCGCCACCUCUGGACGUAAUAGUGAUUUGAUAAUUAUCCUAGAAUAAUCCGGUUUGAUCAGAAUAACUUCCUCGGACCCUUUCUCUUUUCUUUUUUUUUAAUGUGUUUAGCAUGAAAGGAGGGUAUUAACCUGUUCAUACCUUCCGUUAAUGAGAGAUUCUUUAAGCCAUGUGUCGAAACCCUCGGCCCACUUGGCGAUCGGACCGCCGUCCGGCCCAAUGCUCCUCAAAUUAUGUGUAGCGUUCCCGGACCCGAGAACAAGAACCCCUUCAUCUCUCAAGGGAGCCAAUGCUUUCCCCAUGUUAUAGUGAUACGCAGCACCCUUUCUGCUUUGAAUAGAGAGUUGGCAUACCGGGAUGUUCGCCUCAGGGUACAUGAGCAUGAGAGGGACCCACGCGCCGUGGUCGAGCCCGCGACUAGCGUCCUCCCUCACACGGCCAAACCCGGCUCCUUCCAGAAGCUCUUUCACCCUCUUUGCUAAGUUCGGCGCACUGGGUGCAGGAUACUUCAGCUGCACGAGGAAAAGUGAUUCAGUUAGCUCAAUGUAGAAGAUUGUUACCCUUUUGCUCUUUCCGAGCAAGAACGGUGAUAAGAAUCUUCUCUCGGAGGUUUCAUUAAAGAUUAAUUAAUGACUCAACAAACAAUAUGGAUAUAACUAAUUCAACCAACUAAUAGCACAUCCACCGAUCUUAUCCAAUUAAAUAUAAUAGUACAAAGUUAAUAUCGGCUUCGAAAUAGAUACUAUGAAGGGGGGAAUAAAAAUAAACAUUAUAAAAUGAGCUCAUGAUUUAUGUUUAGUCUGUUUUAUGCAAUACCUCCUCUCUUUUUUUCUGACACAAUGCUGAAAACUAGCGAAAUUCCCGUCAGUGCGACUGCAAAUUAGAUGAACUAUCAGCUAACUUUUUUUUUUUUUAUCUCAUCUUGUUCAAGCAAUGCAGGAAUUGUUUAACAUGACUAGUUAAUUGAAGAUAAAUCAUAACAUAAGAAAGGGUUAGGAGACGAGUCGUAUUCAGAAGAGAGAUAGAGACUUCUCUUGGCACCGAAGCAAAAGCAACUCGUCGCUCAAAUUUUGGUGAUGUUCUUCGUUUACGCGAGAAGUUAUUCCUCGAAGUUGCAGAUUACCAACAGGCUCAAUAAUCCGAUUUUGACGGAUUCAACUAGGAACAUAAAUAGAAAUUAGAGUGUCGGCUUCGAAGGAUCGACAAAAUUUGCAUGAAUUGUAAUACACCACCUGAACAUUAAAAAGUUGAAAUUUACCAUCUUAAUUAUACUUCUAUUUCAAUCCUACAUAUAUAACUGGAAAGAUGCAGUUAGGUCCAUGACAAUCUAACUAAAUGAUUAUACACAGAUGAUAAAUUGUAAUUAAUUAAUCCUAGAUGGUGAAUUAGGAUUCGGCAAAAUUGACACUAACAUCAACAAUCCUAUAUCCCAAAAGAUCCAAUUUUUAAGGAUUCAGAAGCAAGAUAAGAGAAAUCGAUGAAAUGGAUUCGUUAGAACCCUAACUAAAAUUCCAAUGAUUCUAGGGCAUAUUUCCCCAAUAAAAAGAACAAUUUUUUUGCACUCAAAUAGAGAACAUUCAUUCACGCCAACGUCCCAAACGAUCCAAUUUUGUUAAAUUCAGAGGCAAUUGAAGAGGAAACAACAAAAUGGGUUCAUUCAAACCCCUGAAAAAAGCAUCACCCGCCUGGUACACAGCCGUGCGAAUCGGGAAAAGUUGAAUUACAAAUUGAACUAAAAUUCAUGUGUUUCUAGGGCACAUUUUCCCCCAGAAAACAAAUUUGAAAACAUCAUCACGCUCCGACAUCCCAAAAACGCCCAAUUUUGAUGGAUUCAGAAGCAAUCGAAGAGAAAGCAACGAAGCUGAUUCAUGUAGAACGAUCACCUGGUACAUGGGCGUGGGGAAACCGUAGAAGUCGUGGAUGGUGUCGUGGGGGGCUGCGCCAUCAACGGCGCCAUUAACGGCGGGGUCGCGCGUGUCCCAAUGGGCGGAGACGACGAGGAUCGCCCUGGGCGCGGCCUCCAAAACCCUAGAUCGCCAUGAGCGGAGGAAGCCCCGCGCGGGGAUGCUCUCGUCCACCGCGAGCGUCGGCGAACCGUGGGAGACGAAGAACGUAUCCAUCGUACGCAAUUUCAAAUUCAAAAUUUUAUAUUUUAUAUUUCAAAUUCAAAUUUUUGAUUUUUUUUUUUUUCUUUGAAUGGGGUUUUGUGGGGAAUUUUGGGUGGUUUAUAUAUAGAUCGAAGGAGAGAGGGGUGGUUGAGAAAGUGAAACUAGUUUCCUGCACCGGGUGUACAAGAACGUCUCAUACACCGAAUUAUUAUUAUUAUUAUUAAAAAUUAUUAUUUUGGGAGAGGUUGGUAUCAUCGGUGACGUCACUGGGAAAGAGGAGAAAUAUUUUUCAUAAAAGUAAAUGUAUAUGUAAAAUAUAUGUUUUUCUAAAAAAAAAUUGUUUAAAUUAAUAUGUAUACGAUUUCUCCAUAAUAUUAGCCAGCAAUUUAUUGUAAAUUAGUGAUUUGAAUGAUUAAUUGCAAGUAGAUAACUCUAAUUCGUUGAACAGAUUAUUUUGAAGGGUUCUUUGAAUCAUUCAGCCUAAUUAUUUUUUGGAAAUAAUUUUCAAGAUUAGUCAAUUCUCUGAAUUGUGACACCCCAAUAGUCUCACAUCAUAUAAUUAUGUCUGGAAGUAUAUAAGUUUGAUUGGGUUAGACAUAAAAACUGAACUUAAGCAUUUUGGACUAGUGGUUUGGACCCAACGAGUUAUUAUUACUAGUGGACUGGGGUCUUAAUAAGGCUAGCGAGACAAGUCUCACAUCACCUCGUGAUUUUGAGCUGUGUUAGUCUCAUGUGGGAGUAUAAAGCUUGAUUGGGCUAGACAUAAUAACUGGACUUAAGUAUUUUGGGCUAGUGGUUUGGACCCAACAAGUUAUUAUUGCUAGUGGGCGGAUCGUUACAUGAAUCUUGAUUAUUACUAAACAUUAAUGGAAUGGUGAUGCUUCAACUGUCAAAGAAUCAAUUAUCCGAUUCAGUUCUCUGAACCUUGAUUAUAACUGGACAUUAAUGGAAAGUUGGUGCUUCAACUUUGAAAGAAUCAAGUAUCUCAAUUAAUGGCUUUAUAUAAGAGUAUAAGAAAAAGAUUUGACUUGUUAUAAAAAAGACUACCAAAUAAUAGAGUACAAAAAAUGUAAAAGGUAAACUUCAGUUUGCCCACGUAUAGUUUAGCUUAUUUUUAUUUUUUUCGUCAUGUGAUUCAGAAAGUUGCUUAUGGUUCAUAAUUUAGAGGAUUACCGAAAUAUUACAUAUCAAGAUUUACAAUAUUCAGUAAAUACUGUAUAUUUUAUUUUUGAAAUAAUAAGUUUGUUAUUAAAUUAUCAAAGUCAUUUACAUUUAGACGUUGUUAAAAACUGGUAUCUUUUUAUUAAUGAACUACAUACUAAUGAUUUUAAUCAAAUACGAAAACGAGAAUAUCUUCUAACUCAUAAUAAUCUUAUUGUAAUAAUUUUACUAUUCCACCAACAACUUUUAUAACUAUCCAACCUGAAUUGAAUAAUAAUAAUUUAAAUAUUUUUAAUAAAAAAUAUAGAAAAUUAUCAAAAUAUUACAAAGUGACAAGCAAAUGGAGCCAUAACAAUCAGCAAGUGAUAUUCAAAGAUAGCACACACUGUACACUGUGUGAUGCCAGGAUGUCAUCUCUAUGCAAGCACAAAGAGCAUCUUGAAGUCCAACAGAAGCUUCUGGUAUCUGCAUGACUGCAUACAAUGUAGAAGUUGAAUAGAAGUCUAUAAAAUCUAAAUGCUGUGAAGGUUGAGACAGGAUCUUGUCUAGGGUAGUUGGGUACAAAUGAUAGAUUGAGUAGAUAAUUUAUUUACACAUUAAUACGCAUGGAAUGUAUUUCUUUUUUUUCUUUUUUUUUUUUGAGAGAAAGGUAGCAUGUUACCCGUUUCGUUUAUUUCAUUUAGAAAUAAACUUAGCUGAAAAUGUGAAUUAACUAAGAUUCGAACUUAGGUCUCGGGUACCGACCACCAAACCCUUUUGCCACUUGCGCUAAGGACGGUCGGUGCAUGAAAUGUAUUGCAUCUCCAAAUUAGAUUGGAUAGAAUAAAAUAAAAACGUAAUACUGAGAAGAAAAAAAAAAAAAAAAAAAAAGACAACAUAUUUUUUGAAAGAAAUUUAAGUCUUUUUAGCUAUUGUGAAAUGGCCCCCCCUCUUUUUGGCUAUUGGCGCUAUCUUUAUUUUUAUUUCUUAGAAUCGAAUGUUUAGUAAUUAAAUUAAAAUUUUCGUCCAAUUUAUUGAUGAUUCCAUCAAAUUGUAAUAUUUUUAACUUUUCUAUAGCAAAGAAAAACAGGGGAAAAAAGUGUCAAUCACAAAAGUGGAAGGUGAGGAAAUUCUAUUCAAAUCCUACUUAUGAACUAUUGGAAAAUAUAACAUCCCACUUAGUUGAAACAAAUUGUUGAUAAAGUCCCUUCAUUGUUGUGAUUUCAUAGAGAAUUAUGCAGAAACAGAAAAAGAAAAAGAAAACCCUUCGGGAAGCAAAAUCUGAAAAAGCUACAAGAAUCAAAAGAUGAAGAAGAAAAAGAUUGAGAAAAGCCUCUGCUUUUUUGGAUACUUGAAAAUAAGAAGAUGUCGAGUAAGGAUAAAGUAAACAAGUAUUUCUUCUUGCUUGCUUGAAAAUAAAAAGAUGUCAAAAUGUAAAUACGAAAGAUGUCGCGACCAAAUUUAGAUAAAACACCUUGUAUGUAAAAUGCACUAUAUUGAGAUAUAAUGAUUAUUCGGGCCUUUCGAUAACUAAAGUCGAAAAACUUCUGCGUCAUUCGCUGAAACCAAACCCCCAUCCAACACAAAUUAUCCCGCUAUAACUUAUUCCGACAUUCCAACAGGCCCUAAUUCUAAAAUUACACAGAUAUCGAAUAAAUAUUAUUGUGGACUACAUGAUCUCGACCACUGCUCGGCCGAUGAUCUUUCCGCGGUCGAGAUCUUCAUACGCGCUAUUUGCCUCCUCGAAUUUGCAUUUUCUCGAGACGGAUUUUUGAAGGUUGAAGAUGCCCGUCUCUGCAAGCUUCACCACCUGGGGAAGAUCUUGCCUCGCCCUCGCACCAUAUGAACCGAUGAUUUUUAUCUGUUCACAAGAAGAAUACAUCAUGACAGCAAUGCACAAGUUAACCAACUGGUAAUAAAAGCGAUAACAAUAAUACUUGUACUAAACCUAGUAGUCGGUUGUACUAAACCUAGUAGUCGGUUUAAUGGUCACAUCAAUUCUUAUCGAAUAUUAAAAAUAUUACAUCUUCUAGCUACUACAUAUAACAAAGGAUUGCUUUCAAGUAACUAGUAAUAAAGGAGUUGGUGAAACAAACAAAUCCGUGCAAUAUCCCAUUAAUUCUCUUGCAAAUAUGCCUGUUUGAUGGAACCAAAAAGGAAAAAAGAAAAAAUAAAAAGGAUUGCUAUUAAAUUUAUUUACAGGAUUAUUGCAAAUAAUCCAGUAUAUACUCCAUGAAAGUGAUAAGGGAAAUAUUGAGAACGAAAUAAGAGAUUGAAUUGCCCAACUAAUUGAGAUACGCUAUCUUAUAAAGCCUAAAAUUUUUUAUUGGAGCAACAGGUAUGUAGGUAUACCUGUCUUCGAACAAGACGAGUAAUAUCCACCUCGCCCAUCACGUUUGUCGAAGCAAGGCCGAUCAUAACAGCUUUUCCUCCAUCACACACGCUUUUCGUGCAUUGCAUAAAUGUCUGCGGCUUCCCUAAUGCUUCUACAGCCACAUCUACACCCCUCCCCCCGGUAAUUUCCUGUAAAGAAGUCAAAAUUAAUGAUUACACAACAACCAGGAUCACAAAGUUUACAUUGCAACGUAUUUCUGAACUUCCAACUUCAACAAUAUGGUCCCUGAACUUUCUCAUAUAUUACAAUUCCAUCCUUCACUGUGAGAAAAGAAAGAUAAAUGUUCCUUAAAAUGACCAUUUUACCUUUCUCACAUAAAAUGAUGUCCUUGUUUCAAUACCUUUUAACAGGGUUAGAAAGGUCAUUUUGUAUGCAAUAUGUCAUGUAUUGCUAGAUAUCUUUUAGCAGCCAAGGAUAAAAUUGCACUCCGUUAAAAUGAAAAGAUUUAGAACUAAAAAGUGUUUGACUGAAAAAGUUCAGGAACUACGUUACAUUUUGUCUUUUGUCCUUCGUAUUUCAAUGACGAAUUAGAAAGGCUGGAAUGAUCGCUUCGGAUGAAUAUUUAUACAAAACAAUCACCAAAAAAGAAACUCCAUCUAAGAAAUUAAUUAAUCUUGUAACUUUUUAUUCGUGCCUGGAUUCUUUCAACAGCAUCUUCUUUUUGUGCAUUUAUUGUAUGGGUAGCGCCAAGCGUUGUGGCAUUUUGGAGCUUUUCAUCCGAGAUGUCGACUGCUAUGACUUCAGAAGCUCCAAAGGCUCGGGCUAUCUGUAGACAACUGCAGGGAAAACAGAGAAACAAAAUGAUGCAGUAACUUAAUUUUCCAUCAAAAGAGAAGAUAUACAAAUCUAUUUGCAAUAGUAAAGCCUUCAAACUUAACGAGACGGAAACUUCAUAAAUGCUCUUACCAAUCAGUGGACACAGCAUAAAGUACAAAUAAAAUGUGAUAAUAGGAUGAUUGUAGUAUCCACAGGCCAUAGCUGGAAGCUUUCUAUGCAAAUGGAGAAACUAGAUGCAAAUCUAACAUUAAUGAAAAUUUGACCUAAAAAUCAAAAACAGUCAAUUUCAUGAGCGCUUAUUAGAAAUAUGUUACAAAUAUGUUGUGAUAAAGCAACUAACAUGCUCUCCAUAAAGCAAGACAUUCUAUAACCUCAACAUUUUCCUGAAAACAAUUAGUAUAUUCGAGUAGCACUUUAUAGAACCAAACUGUGUUAAGAAAUUGAGGGGAUUUUAAUGAAAAUGCUAUUAGGGCUUCUUCGAAAACUCUGCUCAGGGAGCACCUUCUGCAGAACUCCAAUUGAGCCUAACAGGCCAUUGGUGGAUAAAUAAGAAAAUCAAGAAAGUUUUAAAUUCAGUAGAAGAUUGGUGGUCACCUCGAUCCGACCCCACCAACUCCAAUUACGGCAACUGAAUCCCCAGCACGCAUCUCGGCAGCGUGCCUCAUGGCACCAUAAGCAGUAAAGACUGCACAUCCUAGAAUCGCUGAUUCUGUAUAUGGCAGUGAGUUAGGAAGAACUGCCAAUGCAUUGGCAGGCACAACACAGUACUCAGCAAGUCCACCCAUACUGUACAUGUACACCGGCUUUCCUGUUAAAUUUUUUUUAAAAAAAAAGGAAGAAAGGAGUUUUAGGCACUAGUAUACAAAAUGGAAAGAGAUAUUUAUAUAUCUUCCUCCGGAAAAUUAUCCAUUUAUAUGUAUAUCCCUGCAGAAUCAGAAUUAUCAUAUAUGCUCUUCAGAAACUUGAUUCUCUCGUACUGAACUAACGAACCUUUGAACAACCUUUUCUAAAUUCAAAAACAAUAUUACCCCAUUACAUGGCUUACACAAGUAGACGCAUACAGUGCUUUAAAUUGCGGCCGCUAUAGCAGAUUUUAUGUGCUACCGUUACGUUAUAAUAUGUAAAGCGGUAUAUAACGGAUCGGGUUCAUAGCGGCCGCUUUAUCGGCAUAGGACCCGUUGAAGCGGCCGCUAUAAAGCAGUUAGAAAGCGGGCGCUAUUAGUCCAAUUCUUAAAAAAGUGCAAACGGGUUAAAAUAGCUUAAUGUUUCAGAUUCUUAAAUGAAAUACAAAGAUCAAACCAUGUUUCUAAGGGUUUGGAAGAUAAUUAUUUACCUAAGAUAUUCUUUUUGACAUUCAUUUACAAAUUGUUUAGAUUGUUAAUGGAUUAUAGAUUUUCAAAUGUUAUGUCUUUUUGGUUUGCUAAAUAUUUCGAAGUUAAUUUUAAAUUCUUAAUAGAUAACGAUAUUAAUAUAUAUAGGCUUGCAAUACUAAAAAAAAAAGAAUGAUUAGUUGUCGUUUUUUCAAAAUUAUAUGUAUUUUUUAUAAGGAAUAUAAACAUAUUAAAUAUGCUUUUAUGAAACCCGCUAUGGGUUCAUAGCGUCCGCUAUGACGCCCGCUAUCCAUUUUCCGCUAUGAGACUCUCCAAAUGCUAUGUACCCGCUAUCCGUUAUUUACAACCUUAGAUGCAUACCAUUGCUGCGUAGAAAAAGUCGUGUUUCGCCAUCAUAGAGUGUCCCUUUGGCACGAUUAUAUGCGAAGAAGGCCUCACAUAGAUCUUCUUGUCCCUAUAUAUUUAUAUUGAAAUAGGUCAAGCCACAAAGAACUAAUUUAGCAGUAAAACAAAUAAAUAUUCAGAGAGAAGCAAAAUCUUGAUAACUACCUUAACACAGUAAAAGCAAUUGCCACAAGGCAUUAUGAAAGCACCAACUACAUGACUCCCAAUAGGAAACCUGAAGAUGACAAGUAUCAAAUAUUAUUUCUGCUGAACAUUAUUGAAGGUUCCCUAAUUGAACAGACAAUAUCUCAUAAUAUUUGCAAAAGGGAAAAAGAACAGACUAAGUUGCAAAUACAGAAGAAAAAAAAAAGAAAUGGAUAUUUUUGCAAAGUGGCCGAGAAACAAGUUUCGCUCUCACAAAUUCUUGGCACAUGUAAUUAUACCUCUCUUUAAUCCGAUUAUCAGUGUGUGCACCAUACUCAACAACCUCUCCGGUUAUUUCAUGCCCCACAACACAAGGACUUGCGAAUGGGAGUUCACCUUUCAUGACAUGAAGAUCGGAGUGACAAACGCCACAGGCUGCAUUUAUUGAUCAAAGGCAGAUUAAUAGCAUAAGCCGUCAUUUUGAUAAGCUUCAUAUAACCCACAAUUAGGUCAAAAAAGAAGGAAACAGCAAUUGCCGUAUACAGGAAGGAUGAUUACAAGGCAGAGUAACAAACCAUAGUACAAGUAUAUGAAGAUAAGUUCAGAAAUUUAAGUAAACUCUUCGUCUAUUGAGAUCUCAUGCUGUCCUGGUCGUGGCAUCUAAUUAUCUCAAAGCAGUACCAAAUGGUGGUUAACAAAUGCAGAAGUUUGCACAAAGUUAAAUUUGACAGUUGACCAUGUAGUUUAAAGAUUAGUCUCUAUAGUUCUCCCCAUUUGUACGUCACAAUACAUGGAGGAUUUGACCACAAGCGCAUCAGUAUCCUAUUGAAUGAUAUUUCGUGAAGACAAUUUGUGAGCUCUCAAUAGGAUAUCAUUAUUUGGUUUAAGCCAAACUAAUUUUGAAUCAAUUUUGUAAUUAGAUAUGGAUGAGACAACUUGACAACCUUGCUGGGUACUUCAAUUCUUGUAAUUUCUAUGAUAAUCCCUCAAAUCAUCAAUCCUUUUUUUUUUUAACAAAACACAAGAACCUAGCUGAGAUAAAGACAUCUGGAUAAGGAAAGGUCAACUUUUAACCUCCAGUGCAGAAAAAGUUUUCUCAUCUUCCCACCAAAUUUCCACCUACUUCUCCGAACCAUCCUGCUCCGACAAUCCCACUCUUCCUCUCCUCUUCUCCCUUUUAUAGAACCUUUUAAUAGUACUAUCCUAAUUUGAUUGAUGAUCUCCAACAAAAUUCAGAAUUUUCAGCCUACUAACUAAAACAUUCUCACUCCUCUUUUCUCUCGCUCUCUCCUUUAAUCGGAUCUCAACUUCUAUAUGCAUACGGCAUCCUUUUUCUUAAGACACAAUAGGGUGAGCAUUAGGGGAAAAAAGAAGAGAUCCUAAGAGUAGGUCCGAAGGAAUCAUAUGAGAACCCGAAAAGCAUCCCAUUAGUUAAAAAUACUUAAAAAUACGUCGAAGAUGAAUGGAAUUGACCUGAACUAUGGCCUGUUUAGGGAUAACUGCCGAACUCUUAAAAGUUCUGACUUUGCUAUAUAACGCUUCGAUUCCUUUGGAUUUAAGUCAUUUAGUAGGUCUUCAGUCAUAAAAUUUGCUGUACUUUAACAAGAACGUUGCCACAUAAAUCACAUGAGAUACUUAUCAAAUUAAUUACGAAUUGAAAGGUUAUAUAUCGAAAUCAAAAGUUUCAGGGUUGACUAGUCAUCUCAAAUCGGGGCAUAGUUCAAGUAACUGUGAUAGGUUUUUACCUAAAAAAUAUCAUAAACCAUUCUUGUUGUUAGUGAAUUAAUAAUUUAACACAAUGUGAGGUAUAUCAUUGGCAUAUUCUUCGAAUCUACAGUUAAAAUAACCUAGUAAUAUAAUACACAGCAUGAUGAUAGUGGGGCACUGUUACGUAGUUUACAAAAAGUUGAGGAACUAAUCUGCAAUAAUCCAAAGACCAAAUGGAUUUUUUAAUAGGAACAAAACAAACCGAUCAACAUCAAAUCGACAGAUACCCAAGAUCGGAGACUAAAGCCCUAAUAACGCGAUCGAUUGCGAGGGGGUAACGAUGAGACCUUUGGUCCUGAUGAGGAGCUCCCCGGCCUUGGGGCGGGGCAUGCGGAACUCCUCGACUGCGAGGGGUCUCCCGGGCUCCCAGAACACGACCCCGCGCAUGGAGGAGGGGGCUCCGUCGACGAAGAACCCUGCGGCGGAGGAGGCGCCGCCGCCGCCGCCCCGCUCCACCCCCGCCGCGGCGGCGCAGAGGGAUCGCCGGAGAGGGGAGGGGCGGAGGAGCUUGGGGAGGCGGCGAAGUAGGGAUCGAGAGGCGUAGGAGGAGAAGAACGCCAUUGGAAGAGGACGAGGAAGAGAGAGAGAGAGAGAGAGAGAGAGAGAGAGAGAGAGUAGAAGAUGGAGAGACUCUCGGAGACGAAGUAGAGAGAGAGAGAGAGAGAGAGAUUUGUAUAGUGUUCGUUGAGGGGGCCCACCAAAAUAUACAUAUAGAUAUAGGGAUAAUUACUUUAUACCCCUCAACACAUCUGAAAUUUCUUAUUUAUCCCUGUUUUGUUUUUCAAAUAUAUUGCUCGUAUAUUUCUCUAUUAUUUAAAAAAUAUACUGUUAGUGUACGUUGAGUUAUCUCAGAUUAAAUAAUUUAAUUUAUACCAUAGUUAAAAAUAGUUGAAAUACCUAUUUUGUUUCUAACUUAAGGACAAAUAAAAAUAGCUGGUGAUGUAGAAGAGCAUUUAAAAGAAUAAAAAAAUCAAAAUACUUUUUUAUCCUAACUUAACAGUAAAUAAAAAAAUCGGUGAUGAUAAAAAAAUAUAUUUAAAAGAGUAAAAUGAUAAUUUCCUAAAGAUAACGAUGGCCCCUAAUAGUUCAUUAAUAGAAUUUAACUCUAUAAAUAUAUUUGAAAAACUUUAAAAUUUUGAAAUGAUAUUUUUAAUGUGAACCAGAAAUAAAUAAGAAAAGCCAAAAAAUUUUAUCCAUCUUUGGAUCAUAUUUGGAUAAAUUGAUAAGAUGAUUAAUUAGAUUAAGGCUUUAUAAGAUAAGAUAUGAAUACAUUUUGGAUGAUUUAAAUCUAAUAAUAUAUAUUUUAAAUUGAUAAUUUUUUAAAGGAGAAAAAAUAAGCUCAAAAUAGUUGGAACAAAAUUUGCCAUUGCAUACAUUAUUGUUUUUUUUUUUUUUUUUUGAGGGUCAACACAUAUAGAACUUAUCAAAAUUAUGGAUCACUUUAAAUUUACUAUCCGACUUUUUAAAAAUUAAUUUUACUAUCUAAAAUUUUAUUCUAUUUGAUUUGAGUCUAUCAACAGUGCAUUGACUUAGGAUUUAAACUUAUUUCUUACUUAAUAAAUUUAUAAUUAUAAAAAUUAUAUAAAGUAUACUAAGUAAAUUCAUAUAGAUAAAUAAUGUAUUCAAAGUUUAAAGUAAAAAUACCAUCGAAUGACUCAAACCAAAAAAAUUAAAAUUAGAAUUUUAAAAGAUGGAUAGCCGAAUUAAAAUAAUUUAUAUUUUAGAUAAGUUUUGGGCCAAUUUGCAUAAAAAAUUCAUUUAUUUUAGAUUUUUGCAAAACCGGGCCACCUUUUUCGUUUUUGCAGAUUCGGUCCACUUUUUCAGCAAACUGACCAAAAUACCCUUUUUACUUUUUCUCUUUCUUCUUUCUCUCUCCUCUUUCGUUUCUCUCGUUCUUUUUUUUUCUCGCCGGCAGAGCGGAGGCGGAAACGGUCCGUCUCGCCUCUCACCCUCAUUCUCUAGCCCUCGCCCUCGUCCUCGCCCUCGCCCUUGCCCUCGUCCACGCACCCCCCACCUUCCUCGCCUCCAACCCCGCUAAGGCCGCGCCACGACUUUUUUUUUUUUUUUUUUUUUCUUUCUUUUCUUCUCCGACUCUUCUCGACGUCUUAUCUACAGUUACGACGAUUACCUCUCUGUCCUUCCCCCUUCUCAUCUCUUCCCUCUCCCUCAUUCUCUGCCGCUCGACGACGAUGCAUCUUCGCCGGCGCCGACGUCGACACCCGUGGAGCGUCACUGCGCUCCACAGGUCGCGAAGCGGGGUCCUUAGCGCGUGUCAGUCGCCGGCACCGGGCCUGUUUCCAGAGAAGGUGACAAAAAAAAAUUAUAGAAAAAACAAGAAAAAAAAAAAAAAUAAAGAUAAAAAAAAAAAAAAAAAAAAGAAAAAAAAAGAAAAAAAAAAAUAAAAAAAAAAAAAAAUUAAAAAAAAAAAAAAAAAAAAAAAAAAAAAAAAAAAAAAAAAAAAAAAAAAAAAAAAAAAAAAAAAAAAAAAAAAAAAAAAAAAAAAAAAAAAUUAUAAAAAAAAAAAAAAAAUGAUAACAAAAAAUUAUAUAAAAGAAUGAUGAAAUCAAAUUGGUUUAUUGUUAACUGCCCAAAACAUAAAAUUAUAAGUAUUGCACGUAUUUAGAUGUAAACUGCCAGCUUUUAGAUGAAAACUCUACUCUUUAAACGAAAAUUACACUAUUGAGCAGAAUAUUUACACUGUUUCUUUCUUAUUACACUUGUUCAGAUGCUAGAAACUGGCAUACAUUAAGAUGAAAGUUACACACUCUUUUAAACAAAAGUUGCCACUGUGUUUCCCUGCUUGUUGGCCGCUUUCCUCUUUGUUAAAAUAUUUUUUAUCUUAAACUGCCACCCUUUUAAGAGAUAUUGUAUACUGAUUUCUCCUCUUGCUUGACACCAUUUUGUUUGUGUAAAUAGAGAGAAUCGUGACAAGCAGGAGGAGAAACAGUGCAAGAAGAGAAGAAACUGCACUGUUUUAGGAAUAUAUAUUUACCUGUUUCUCUCUUGUUGCAUCAUUUCUCGUUGUAAACAAGAGGAGAAAUAGGCUCAAACAGAGGAGAACUGCACUAUUUUGAAGAGACUAUAUCUACUGUUUCUUUCUAUUGUUGCACUGUUUCUCUUCUUGUUGCAACAUUUCUGUGUAACACAAUAGCAAGAAAUAGUGCACAUAAGAGGAAAACAAAUGCAUAAGAGGACGAAACUGCACCUUUUAAGAGUAUUAUACUGUUUCUCCUCUUAUUGUACUGUUCUCCUCUUCGUUGCACAUUUCUCUGUGAAAUAAGAGGAGAAAUAGUGCAACAACAAAAGAGAAACAGUGCAACAAGAGGAGAAACAGUAUAAAUAUCACUUAAAAGGAUGCAGUUUAAGAUAAAAAAUAGUAUAAUUUUCGUUCAAAGAGUAUAAUUUUUAUCUUAAAGCAGCAGUUUACAUCUUAAAUAGUGCAACUUAUAAUUUUUUUGUAAUUAACGAUGUAAUUUCAUCUUCAUCCUUCUUUUUAUAUAAUUUUUUAUCUUUAUUUUUUUUCUGUUUUUUCUAUAAUUUUUUUGUCACCUUCUCUGCCAACAGCUACGGCGCCGGUGACUGCGCCGGUGACGACGCCGCUAAGGACCCCCCGCUCCGAGGCUGUAGCGCCGCAGUGACCUCUACGGUGUCGACGUCGGCGCCGGCGAAGAUGAAUCGUCGUCGGAGGCGGCAGAAAAUGAGGGAGAGGGAGAGAUAUGAAGGGCGGGGAAGGGCGAGAGGCGUCGUCGUCGGAGACGGUGGAGAAGAGUCGGAGAAGAAAAGAAAAGAAAAAAGCAAAAAAAAGAAGUCGCGGCGCGGCCUUAACGGGGUCGGAGGCGAGGAAAGUGGGGGUGCAUGACGAGGGCAAGGGCGAGGGCGAGAGCAUGAGGGUGAGAGGCGAGACGAACCGUUUCUGUCUCCGCUCCGCCUCCGCUCUACCGGCGAGAAAAAAAAAAAGAACGAGAGAAACGAAGAAGAGAGAGAAAGAGGAAAGAGAAAAAGUAAUAAGGGUAUUUUGGUCAGUUUGCUGAAAAAGCGGACCGAAUCUGCAAAAAUAAAAAAGGUGGCCCGAUUUUGCAAAAGUCCAAAAUAAGUGAAUUUUUUAUGCAAAUUGGCCUAAGUUUUGUAUGUUUUUACCUUCUAAUUUUUUUUCAAAAUUAAGAGACAUUGCAUAAAUCCUAGAAACAUUGGGAAUUAAUAUACAAAGAACACAACACAUCUUCAAAAAUUAUGAAUCAUUUUAAUUUGACAAUCCAAUUUUUAAUAAUUUUAAUUUUAUUAUUCAAUUCUUUUAAUUUGUUUGAUAUUGAAUCAGUAAAUAUAAAUAAUAUUUUGAAUUUAAAGUUUAAACUUAUUUAAGUAAAUUUAUAGUCGUGAGAAUUAUAUGGAGCACGCUAAUUAAAUCUGUAAAAAAUAAAUAAUAUAUUUUAAUUUUAAAAAUACAGGUGUACUACUCAAAUUAAAUAAAUUAAAAAUUAGAUAAUAAAAUUUAAAUUUAAAAAGGUUUGGUUAGUUUGUGCAAGUUUUUGACUUGAAAAAUUAAAAAAGGGGGCGAACUCCGCUGAAGAGCCGAAGAAACCCUCGUCUCUCUCUCUCUCCCACGCUGCCUCCUCUCUCUUUCUCUCUCGUGCGCUCUCUAAUGGCGGAAGAAGAGAAUAAGACGACGCCGCCGCCGACGACGCCGCCGCUGCCGACGACGACGACGACGACGACGACAACGAAGACGAUCCCUGCGCGCUACGACCUCGAUGCGAAGUGGGACGCGUGCCUCGACCUCUCCAUCCGCCGCGUUGUCUACUCCUCCCUCGCCGGCGCCUUCACCGGCCUUCUCUUCUUCCGUGAGAACCUAAGCGCCCCCACCCCUCCCCAUCUCUCUUUCUCUUUCUCACUCUUAUCCCCCGAUUCGAUCGUAUGACCUAGCCCAAAUCGGUUCCCCCCUUUCGAAUCCGUCGAUUUGGUGCUCAUUUCGGCGUUUUCUGCGAGAUUUCUUUUUUUUUUUUUUUAAUGCCUGAUUAGUUGGCUAGGGUAUUGUCUUACCUAAAAUCUGUUUCCCUCUGCGAACCUCGUCGAUUUGAUGCUCAUUUCACUGUUUUUUGCGAGAAAUUGGGGUUUUCUUGCACUUUUAUGCCCGAUUAGCUGAUUUGGGCGACAGUUUUGCCUAAAAUUGGUUUCCAUCUCUCAGAUUCGGCAUAUUGAUGAUCCUAAUGGCGUUUUGUGUGAGAUAAUUUGCUUCUGUUGUUCUCUUUAGGCCGAAUUGUUUGAUUCAUUUCACAGUUUUAGCAAUUUAUCCGCUUAUUUGCUCUUGCAUAACUGAUCUGCUUCAUAUGUUUCUAAGCAUCUAGUUUCUGUUGUUGAAAUGCUCACUUAUAGGGUUUGAUCAUUCUUUUACUAUUGUAGUAAGUAGAUAUGGCGAGAUUAAUCUGUAUUGAAGCUUGUAAUGUUUGAUUCGUUAUCUGGGUUGUAAUCUUUGUGGGACAUGAUUUGUGUUUUUGGUUCUUUGAUCUAUCACUAUUGUGAUGAUCUUUUGCAUCAUUUAUGAGGGAACAGGAGGAGAGAAAAUUGCUACAUGUAUUCAUCUAUGAAAUAAUGCAUGUGGAAAUAGAGCCAUCAGAAACCAAAUUUUUAUUCUAUGUCUAGGUUAUGUCCAAAUAUAAUGCCCCAGUUGGUAGCUUAGGAGAGUUGGUCCUUAGUUUCUCCAUCAGAGUAUGACAUUCCUUCCUCUCCUCUAUGGAUCAUAGCUGAUUAUUUAAGGUGCAUUAAAUCUUCAUGUUACUGCUUAAAAGGUUAUUCUGUUAUGCUUGAUACUUGUUUUUGCCACUUUAUGUACACUGUUUUACUUUCACUAUCCUUAUUCUCUAUUGUUUCUAUACUGUUAGGGAGCCCGACAACUCGAUGGGCAUCCAUAGCUUUUGGUGCUGGAGCGGGCGUUGGAGCAGCAUACACAGAAUGCUCGUAUCUGUUUGAUGGUUCUGCUCCCAAGUGGUCUCCGCCUCCUAAGGUUUCAACUGUUCAUCCUGCUUCCUCAUUGGUAUAUAUAUAAUUUUUAUUUUUUCCUUCGAUGCUUAUUAUUGAUUUUGUUGUGUUUAUAAUACUUGGUCUAGAUGAGAGAAAGGAAAUAGGAAAUUGGGGUUUAUCACAUUUUCAAUUAAAAUCCUGGUUGAACUGUUCCGAGGAAAAUACUUUCUUGCCUUGCACUGCUGAACAAAUUUUUCGAGUCACUUUUGUGUCUUUAGAAUACUAGUUUUCAGCGGAACUUUCUGAAAAUUUGUGAGAAAAAACUAUACACGAUACUACGCAAAUGUUUCUUAUACACGUCAUCUUCAUGCAUUCUGGUUGUUCUCUCUGACCCGUGAAAUUUCUUCUAUGGUUGCGCAAUAUUGGAAAAUAGUAUGCAAUGAAGAGAUGGUUAUUAAAUGCUGACUAUCUGUUGAGCUAAUUUGACAAAAUCAUGCUAUUAUUCUAUGAGUGUAGUUUUUUGAAUGAUGUAUUUCCUGAUUAUUAAUGCCUAUGAAUUGUUAAAUACAAACUAAUCAGUCUUCCUUAGAUAACAAAGUAUAUACAUGUUGCAUGCAUGUAAUUACUCAUUGUGCUCGGUACUUUUGAAAAUAUAGCAGAAGAAACUGGUGUACGAUUUGUUUUUCUAUUUUACUGGAUUAUAUAUGGCUUUAGAAAAUUUCUAUUUGUAAAAUGGCAACUAUCUAUAAAUUUGUAACUUUUGGAUCCAAGUUUAAAACAGAAAGAAACUCGUAUAAUAUGGAACUUCUAUCUGGUAGUUAUUAUAUAGAUUGACAUUUACAACUUAUAUAUGUGAUGCAGUCUAAUAUUUCUUUAGUGCCAUUUUCCUUUUGGCUAUCACUACCUUUCUAAAAGGGCUAUUAUAAUCCUACUAACAAUCUUAUAUUUAUCAGUUGUUAUUUUUGAGAGUCCGUGCAAUGUUCAUGUCUUAGGAAUGUGAUAUAAAUUUUCUCUUUAUAUAUCACCUAUUUUAUAUGUUUGAUUGGUGCUUGUGUGGUCUGAAUUGAUAUGGUUAUUAAAGGAGAAAUUAAGAUGAUAGAACGAAAAUCUCUAAUUUUAAAGAUUUGUCACUAACAUGCAGAUCAGCCUGGACAUGUUAAUAUCUCAUAAUUGAUUUGAGAGCUUGUAAUAAUGUCUUUUUAAUAAUGGUUACUAAAGAAAAAAGAGCACUAAAUGUUUUCUCAUUAAGAUGAGUAUAAUGUGAAAGCUUUUCUUAAGCCAUUUAAUUUGAAUUCAAGUUGAAGAUUUUUCUUUGUAAUGUUAAUGCGAUCUCUAUUUUUAAAGUAGUACUAAAAUGCAUUUCGAUUCUUUUUUCUUAAGGAUUUAAUGCACUAAAGAGAGAAGCAAAUUAAUCAGUUAUUUCUUUUGUUUUGCUUGGGCAUGGAUUAAUGAUGCAAAAACAAGAAUCAUGUGUUGUAAUUUUGUUAUAUUCUUAUUUACAUAUUUGUUAUAUAUUGAAGUGUGAGUUAUCCACCAUGUAAUUGAAAAUGUGAACUGUCAUAUCCUCCGUAAUGCAUCGUGAAACUAUCAUAUGCUCAUCAAAUUAUGGUGUCUUUGGACACUAUACCAAUUUUUUUCCUUUUAGACUGAAGGCUUUAUAUCUAACCUAUAGGCGGAAAUCUUUUCUUUAUCAGAGAAGUGAACCAAUGAAGUAAAAAAUCCUAACUCCUAAUAUGAAUAUGAUGAUUGUAACACUUAAGAUCUAAAAAAGUCUCUUAACGUUUUGAAAUCGUGUUGAAAUCGUGAUGAAUGGUAGCACUUCCUUUGUGCCACAUUUAUUGGGGUUCAUGUUGAAUUCUUGUAGACUGAUACUGGCUUUUGACAGUAAAGUAACAUCAGUAAUAGUAUUACAAACUGUAUGAAUAUUAUCCUGUGAGAUGUGCAACAUAGAAACUAAAAAAAAACAAUUGAUAUAAAGAAACUGGUGAACAAUCUUGAUAAAAAAAAAAAGUAUAUAGAAUUCUAGCUCUCCGUGCGAAAAUGGAUAAAAUCAACAAAAGAGUGGUUAAUAUACGGAUAUCAACAAUUGAUGUGCGAACAACACAUGUAGAAAAUACUUGAUUGCUUUGAAACUACUUAGAAAUUUCACAUGUUACAUUAUAUGUGGGAGCACUCAGACGCUAUCGAGCAUGAAACCAGAGGAAUUGUGCAAAACGUCAGUGAUACGUAGGAAAUGUAAUAAUGCUGUUUCUUUCAGUUGUAAGGAGCAGUCUGAAUUGAUAGUAAACUUAUAUCACAUUUCUUUAUCCUUCGAUAACAGAAAUAAAAUAGGCAUUUUUUUAGUCAGUGCGAUAUUUAGUUUUUGAACUCUAAAAAACCAAGAAACUUGAACCUCUUCUUACUUUCUGUUCUUUCUGCUUUGUAGGAAGAGAAGUGAAUGACUGAUCAAAAGUCUUUUGGUUAAGGAAUUUUUGAAGGUAUGGAGCAAGAUAUUUCUUUCCUUUUGUAUGUCGGCUUGACCUUACACUGAGGAACUGUAUUUGCUCCUUUGGAUCUGUUAUACUAUUGAGAAUAUGUUUUGUUUCGAGCUUUGUUCAAUCACUGAUGUUCCCUUGUUUGAUUGUCGAAAGCAGCAAUAAAUGCAUGCUAUGUAAACCUUUUGAUAGGUGCCCUUAAACUUUGUGAGAAUAGCUUUAGCAUCAAUGCCAUAUUUUUAUGAACUUUUUUUUUUCCCCCUGAUCAUUAUUCCCUUGCUCUUUGGUGUCAUUUAAGAAAUCUGCCCAAAAUUGCUAUGUGAUAUGGGACUGCUCCUCCCUUGCGAAAUUCACAACAGGAAAAUCAUAUAGGGUUUACACACCUGCAAUACGUGAAAUUGUGCACAAGACUAUGUUCGUAUUCAUAUAUGCGCCCGUAAAACCCUUACUUAUUUUGGCGCAUGGCGUUGCUAGGUAUUUUGUCCAAAACUGUGCGUAUUAUUUGCAGAGCGCACAACCCUGACGGUGUCUAUGUCUAAGUAGACAGAACUUCGGGCUGUAUGUGUACAAAUACCAACUCUGCAGGGCUAUUUCAGUAAUUUCACAUGUUUGAGAGCGGUAUGUUUCUAAUUCUAUUCAGCGAUGUAAAAAGUAGAAGUUUCAUAUCAGAGUUUUUGAGUUUUAGUUUGCGUAGAAGCUCAUUUUUAGCUUCUCAUUUUAGUUAAAAAUUCCGUAUUUCUCUUAUUCAUCAUAGGCUUGUUGCUCGUGCUUUUCCUGCAGGUCUUUUUGUCCUUUUUCAAUCAGUGUAAAAUUCAGAUGUUUCUUUUUCCUUAGCUCAUAUCUAAUUAAUACCCAAGUACUUUUUUUUAAAAAAAUCUCAAGUAAAUGAGGCUAAAAAUACUGGCAAAUGUAUUUAGAUUCCAUGCCAUCAUUUACUUUUCUGUUUCACCCUUCCUGUUCACUCUUUAGAUUCACUCCCAAUUUUGGAUAGGAUGCUUUUGAAGGGACAAAUUUUGCUCUCUCAUAACAAAAAUUCUGAAGUUCAAACACCAGAUGCUUAUAAUCAUCACAAAAUUUUAAUGAAAAUAUUCAAAUAAUAAUAUAACUAAGGGUAAGUUGUACAUUUGGUCCUCAAACUAUGAGGUGAGGUGGGUGACACUUUACUCCCUAUAUUUCACUUUGUGGUAAUCUUUUUGCUCAAACUUUUAAGACUAGUGUAAUUAAGUCCUAUAACUCACUUUAGUUAAUUAAACAUUGAUUUAUCGCUAAUAGUAUUGUGAUUGAUAAUACGCUAAUAAUUAAGAUACUAUUGUACUUUUACAUCAACAAUGUAUUAAUAUUUACUCAAAUAAAUAGGAUUGUGAGAUUUGAUUGUAAUAAUUUUGAAAGCCGGAGUCAAAAAUAUAUAACAAAUUAAAGUUUUGUGGAUUAAAAUGUCAUAGUUUGAGAACCAAAGGUGCAAUUUACUCUAUAACUAAAAGAGCAAAAGAGGGCGAGGCGAGUGUGUGUGGCCAAAUGGGGUUAACCUGGAGUUUGAACAAAUUUUUGAGCAACCAUCAAUUAUAACAGAUUUUUUUUUUUUUUUUUUUUUUUUUUUUUUUUUUUUUUUUUUUUUUAGGUAUGUAUAGGACUUACCUAGAUUAUAGAUUAUUUUGAUUCGGCUAUAUUCAAAUUUUUUAAAAUUUGAUUUUAGAAUCUAAGUUUUUUAAUAUUUUUUAUCUAAAUUAUUUGAUGAUUCUUUUAAUAUAAAAUUUAAAAGUUAAUUAUUUUAAUGUAUUUAUAAUUAUAUGAAUUAUAUUAAAUAUAUUGAUUAAGCAUAUAAAAAUAAAUAAUGCAUUUAAAUUUUAAAGUAAAAUAGUUUUUUGUAACGAUUCGAUCCACCGGUAAUAAUAAUUCGUUGGCUCAAAUCACCGGCUCAAUUAUUAUCACAGAUUCUAACCAUUUAGGUUCUGACGUUCUCGUUAGCCCUAAAUUUGGAAGAGGACUACUCCAAGAUCAUCAGGUGAUGUGAGAUUUAUCUCGCUAGUUUUGUCAUCCUAUUCUAGCUUAGCUUGUCAUCUUGUCAUUCCGACACUAGCUCAGCCGAAAUUUAUUUUACAUUUCUGGUUGGUGAUUGGCUAUGAUAACAUAUAUUUUCGGCUGGUGAUUGGCUCUAAUACUAAAUGUAACGAUUCGGCCCACUAAUAAACAAUAACUCUUGGGUCCAAAGCAUUAACCCAAAGUAUUUUAGCCGAGUUAUUUUUACUAUGAUAAAAAUUUUUUAUACCUAAUGACAAUCCUAUUUUCAUCCGAUAUAGGAUUAUUGGGUAUCAUAUUAUUAAUUUAUUCAAAUUAAAUAAAUUAAAAGAUUAGGGAAUAAAAGAAAAAUUAGGUAGCUAGAUAAAAAUGGGUGGUAAUUGAGGUACGUUCUAUACAUUUUAUUCUUUUUUUAUCUUAAAGAGAAUUCCUUUCAGAUUAAAAAAUGAAAUUGUAUGUAAAGAAAUAAAUAUGAAGAAUCUCCUCUUCUCUUCUCCAAAAUUUAAUUCAAAUUUUGCACAUAAAAAAAAUGUCCAUUAAAAAAAAUUAAUUGACAACAAUUUAUGUUUAAGUGCAAUGAAAAUUUUCUAUUUAAAUCAAUUUAAUUGCACAUUAAUGGAAGUACCAAUAAAAAUUUAAUUCACAAAAAAAAAAUAUUUAUGUUCAAAAUAAAUGUCACGUGCGCUGCACGCUAGUUUAGGUAAAGAUGCAUAAGAAACCCCUUCACUAUAUCGCAUUUUGACAUUACCCCAACAUAUUUUUUUUUGUUCACGACUCUAAACUAUUUAUCUUUUUAGAGCCGAAUAAUUUCAGGGAAAUAAAUUAAAAUUAAUAAUUAACAGCUAAUAACUACUAGAACUAGAAUCACUAAAUUUAAUAAAAUUUUUCAACAUAGUUAAAAUAAUUUAAAUUUUAAAAAAAUAAAACAACUUAGGAAUUGAGGGAAUCUCUACCCCAAGAAACCAGUGAAGUUAAGAGCCACUUCCAAAAUGGUUUAUAAUGAGGGGAACCCUUCCAUAUACAUAUUUACCCUACACUUGUUGUUACAUAUAAAAAUAUUUAAACACCGUUAUCUAAUAGCUUAAAUUUUUCGAGUACAACGACUGUCUCAUAAAAUAUCAGAGCAGAAAAUUCUGAAUUCGAAUCACACCAAACUCCUAACAUAUUAAUUUCCUCCAAUUUAAUUCAAGCAUGCGUCAUGGGCCGACUAAAAAAUCACGAGCCCAGACGUGAGGGGCUCACACUUCUUGGCAUAAAUGCCAGAUAACAACACAACAUUUAAAAUAACAAAGAAAUAAAAAAGAAAAAAAAAAAACUUCUUAUAAGUUAUAAUGCACCAACCCAUCAUCAAUCUACAUCUCUAAGCUCAAACAACAGACCACUGUAUCUCAGCUGCACAAAUCACAUUAAAAAAAAAAAAGGAAAAAAGAAAAAGAAAAAAAAUCCAAACCCAUGCACUUCAAGUAAUUAACCCGCAAGGUUAAUGAAAAGAAGUGAGACAAAAGGUAUAUAAAUAUUUAAGCUACAAUAAAUAAAUAUAAGAAUAUCAGAAGAAACAGGUUUCUAUGUAUUCAGAUAACAAAUAGUGUCUCAAUCACUGAAAUCGGUGCUGCCGCUCUGCGAGCUGCUGCCGUUCCGGCUGUGCAACGACAAGCCUGAGCCGUCGACCCUCUUCUCCUGGAAGAAGCGCUCCCUCUCGACGUGCUUGGCGGGCGGCGGGGGUAUGGAGACUGCGGCUGUCUGCCGUUUGGUUUCGGGGUCUGACGGACUGAUGUUUACCCCCCUAGGCUGGUUCUCAGGAUCGGGUGGUUGUAUGAUUAAGGGGCGAAUAAGGGGCCGGCGCAUCAUUUCCUCGGGUACGGAUUUGUACGACUCGAUAGAAUCGUCGGAGCAGUCUUCCGCGCAAGCUUUCCCUUUUCUUAAUCUGUGGAUUUUUGUAGGAAAAUAGCAUGAUUAACGUCAAAAUCUUGAUAUCGGAGGGGGUAGAAAUGAGAUCUGUGUAUACUGAUGACCACCGAUUUGCCGAUUGAAGAGAAGCAUAAAAUAAUAUUUGGAUUAUACUUUUGGAGUUCAGAAGUUCAUUUCAAGUUCCACAAGAGCUAUGGAAUUUAUAUUUGCCAGCAUACAUCUCUUUAUAGGCAAAGGUAAAGGAUCAAAGAGAAUGAGGACCCCUCUAGAAGAGAUGCAUGCCCAUUUUAGUUACCCUCUCAUUGUUUUCGGCAAAUUUUCGCAUUUCUGUGAUUUAUCGAAAUCUGAAGUCGGCAUCGAUUGUGCAUGCACCAUCAUACCUGAGAUAAAGGCGUUCGGCAUCUUCUUCCUCCUGUUCAUCCUCCUGUUCAUCAUUGAUGCACGAAGCUACGGUAGAGGUCGGACGAACCGAAAGGAGUGCAUCAUGCUGUAUCAGUGCCUCAUGCAGCUGUUCGUUUAGGUCGAUAGCUUGAGUCACAAUAUUCUCAUCCCUAGCAAUAAAAUAAAUACAUCAUAUUAGGAUGUAAAUUGAUGGCAGAAUUCUCCAGAAAGGACAAUCUUGUAAUCGUCGAUAUGUGCUCAAUUGCAGUAUAAUUGAAAUUAAGUCGGGUCUAAUAUGAGAAUCUUACCGCGAUGUCAUAACCAGAUGCAUCACUCGUUGCUUUUGAAAUGAACAUUGCUCUACUAGAUCUAGCACAAACUCAUCUGUUGCUCCCUGAAUAAUAAUAAAAAAUGAAAAAAUACAGGUAAAUCUCAGAUAAGUAAUUCCUAUAAACCAAAUACCUUUCCUCACCAAAUAACAAAAAAAGGGAAAGGGAAAAAGAGCCAACAGGCUCUUAGAAGAAAAAGAAAUAACUUGUUUAGCUGACAAGCAAGGAUUAAAUUGGCGGGGAGAGCGUUAUCGGUUAUCUUCAACACUGCACAAAAAAUGGAAAAAAGUAAGAAAAUUCAAUUAAUAUGUACCUCCGGGCGUUUAGGAUCCAAGGAGUUAAGCACAUCCCUCAGAACUUCCAAGACACUAGCAGCUUUCUGAAUUAUACUGAAAAGAUGAAAAUAUGUCGUUUUAGAAACAUGUCUAGUCUGUGUACAAGUUUAGGUCGAUAACCCGUAUUUAUUUUGUCAACAUUGGGAGUCCAUGAGAGGUUCACACUUUCAUGAGAUAAAAGAAUAUAAACGCAAUACGGCACCUCGAGUCAGGCAUGGCCUGCGAAUUUGUUUGUUUUCCACCGUCAUUUCCUCGGCUAGGCAAAGAAUCUUGAGGAGCUUCGGCUGUUGGAGUCUGUAAUUCUUGUAUGGCAACACGAGGGCGUUGAGGAAAUUGCACAAGAGCAGACUUCAAAGAGGGGGAAAAAAAAUGCUAUUACUUGCAGCUUAAAUUAUACAAAGAAUGCUCUAUAAAGAAAAAGGACCGUUAUAGUUUAUGUACAACUGAAUAAGCUCGACAAAUAAAAGCGAACAAACAAUACGGCUAAUUGAUACAUCUUGCUUAGUUCUUAUAGGCCAAUCUUGGCUAGACAAAAUUGUUUAUGUAUAACUGAAUGAGCUCUCCGGAUAUGAAUGACACAUAAUACUGGAAUAAUCAAUAUCGCCCUGAUUAUAUUCCUCGCUCCAUGUCGUCCGUUGGUUAUGAUGAUAGUGCAAACGAGUUUAAGUUAUUAAACAAACAUGAUAGACGUGGAAAUAUGGGAAAACAAAACAGAAAAGGAGUAAAGAAAUCAAGAAUCGCACAACGGAAGUAGCAUUGAGAUUGAAUCAAAAGAUUAUACUGGCUAUGCAGAACAAAGAAGCAACAAAGUAUAAAUUAAACAUGGAACUUUAUGUCAGGACCUACCACCAAGUCGUAGUAAGCAGCAUAGUAUUGAGGGAAUUUCCCUUUAGCUCCACCUAGGGCCGUUUGAGUGGCAUCGAGAAGAAGAAAUAUUCUUUCGCGUACUGGGUUAUCCGUCUGUUACGCACCAAAAGAAAGAAAAAGAAAAAAUAUCAAACCAUUACAGCAAAAUAUAAUGCAUACGUAAUAGCCUGGAUUAAACUUCCGUUGAAAGAGGCCGAGAAAAAGAAGCAUUCAACCUUUUUCUUCACUAUCUUCACAAGAAUGGGAAGAAGCCCUCUAUCAAUCACCAGUCUGUGGGUGUUCUCUCCGCAGUUAUUCAUAAGCAUUUCUAACAACUGCAACAUCGAAUCGAAAGACAAAAUACGAUUGUUCAUUAUCGUUAGAGUACUCAAAGAAAGAAAAGAGAGUUGGCCAAUUAACAAGACCAUGUUGAAUACAUUUAAAAAGAAAUUAAAAUGUUUUUUUCAUGAUUCAAGAGGAUACUACUGCACACAAAGAAUAAAUGGGCUAUUGGUCUUGUAACAUCAGCAAAACAGCAUGUGCAGUUUAGAGUAAUAGUUUUGGAAAAAUAAAACGAAAGGCGAAACCAGAAACGAAAGUACUUGAGGAAAGAAUACAAAUUUGAAACUCACCAUUACAGCAAAAAGUUGUACAUUUGGGUUCUUGCUCCCUAGUCGUUUCUUAAUGGACUUGAUGACAUCUUUGGCUUGCCUGAUGAUCCAAAGAGGAAGAACUCAAUUUGUUCACAUUGAAAGAUAAAUAAAUGAUCGAGACAAUGUUGAAUCAAUGUUAAAGCUUAUUUGGUCCUACGGGAGCUUCUGCAAAAGUGUUGUUUAAAAAGAGCUGUUAGAAGAAGUGCUAACAACUGUUUUGCUAAAAUCCUCUCAGCUGCUUCUCCACACAAACAAAAGCAAAAGCUUCAAAAUGAAGCCUAUUCUUAUAGGUGGACCCAAAAACUCACUUCAACUUCCCACAAUAGCAAAAUGCCGAGCGUGUUUGGCCCAAAUUUUGCUUCUGCUUUCAGCUGCCACUGUCCCUAAUAGAGUGUUUUUGGCAAACAGAAAUACAAACAAAAAUGUGAUCUUUACGCCCAAAAGCCGAAGAUCCAACAAGGAGCUUAAGAUUCUGCUGCAGAGAGAAACUGUUACCACUACUCAAACAGCAUUUCAUCAAACAACAAUUUUCCCUACAACAGGGCCAGAUAGGCCUAAUAGUUUGCCAAACAAUGGGAUGCUGUUUGUCGGAUUAGAGAAGCUGUUCAAGAAGCCACAUAAACAGGGACCUAAGAUUACAUACCCCGGAUCGCGCGCAACAAGUUCACAUAUUUCAAUGUUCUUUGCCCAAUCGGUCUCCUUUAGCUUAUCGCUUGUCGCCGUUUUCACCAUUUCGGCCGCCAUUUCCCCCACUAAUGCGAAACUUAUCCUGAAAGCAGAAAGCAAAAUUCCAAGACUAGCAAGGUCUAAACAGAAACCCAAUCCUCAAGCCAAAAUGCACUGCUUCCUGCAAAAGCCACAAAGCACAUAUAUAUAACUGAGAGCAUACAACAACAUUAACAACUCUACCAAAAACAGUUUCAAAAUCGCUUCACAGAGAUUGAGAUCCAUCACCAUGCCACAAAACAACCACAAAACUGCACAAAGUUUUCUCUCGACAUACAGAAAAUAUAAAAAAAGAAAAAGAAAAAGGAAAAUUGGAUCUUUCUAAUCACAACCCACUCGACCAACAACAAAACUAUUGUACCAACACCAUCAACAACAAUCUCAACUAUCACCUCCCAUAAACAAUCCAAACAGCAACUCUAACAAUAUAAUUACCAAAAUUAGAGGCCAAAAUUUAGAAAAUAACCCAAUCUAAACCCACCAAGAUCCCACCUUUCCCUCGAAACCAGCGCCCACCCGAGAUCUCCCGAUCAAAACAGAAGCAAAACCUCUUGAAAGAAUCAGAAGUUACCGCAUUUCGACAACUAGGGUUCAGUUCGGUGCCCGCCGGAGUCCACCUCGACCACUACGUCUAGGGUUUGGACCGAGCUAUUGGAGCGGCGGCGGCGGCGGCGGAGGAGGAAGAGGAGGGGACCUCGCCAUCGCCAUGGGAGUUGAGUGAGCUUAUUGAAGAGAGAGAGAGAGAGAGAGAGAGAGAGUGUUUGUGUAGAGAGAGAGAGGUGAAAGGGUUAAAGGAGGGGAAAGGAAGGGGACAGCUCUAGGACAGUCGAUCCCGCAUGUUAAGCACCGUCGCUUGGUGGGGAUAAAUGUAUUGCGUACACCCGGUGUAUGGGUGCACCCCAUGCACCAAUUUUUUUGGAAAAACUUUAAAUACGACCGCAUGGUUUCGUACUUUUUUUUUAAUUUUAGCACCAUGUGGUUUAAUAAAGUGUAUCACUUUAGUAACUGUAGUUUUAGAUUUUUCUUUUUAUUAUCCCUUCACUAAUUAUUUUUUGCUAAAUCAGUAACAAAAUUAAAACUAAAAGGUAUUAAAGUGAAUAUUCGAUAAAUCUAGAUAGGUGUAUCUGAAGUGUUUUGUAUAUAAUUUAACGAAAUGUUAACGGAGAAGCUGAUGAAAAGAGAAACAUGAAAUUACAGAGUACUAAAUUGAUAUACUUUAAACCAUAGGUACUAAUGUGAGAAUGUGUGAAACUACAAAAAUAAUAUUUGAAGUUUAUUUUUUAUUUAUUUAUUUAUUUAUUUAUUUUUGAAUAAACUACCGGGUUCAUACGGAGGAUCGAAGCCCAACCUUUGAGUCCAAGAUCUACAGUUAUAGGGCCUAUUUAUUUUACCAAAAAUAAAGUUUAUAUUAAAAAUAAAGAAAUAAUUGCAUAUAGUUCGCUGAAAAGAUAGUAAAUAAUAAAUAAAUCUCUAUAAAACUUAAGUUAUCAAAUUUGUCCCUUCAAAAAUCCUUCCGUCUGUAAAUAUAUUCUUUUGUUGCCAAAAUCUAGAUAAUCAUGAGUUAAAAAAACUAGUUAGUUAAGAAAUAAAAUGACUUUUUUUUUCAUCUGUUAUAUACAUAAUUUGUAUUUCAAUGUUGAGUCUCGUCGUCUUUCUCACCCUUUUCUUUUUAUCCAUGGCGGUGGCAAGAUCUAUAGCAGCAGCGAUGUUGAAGGCAAGGCCCUCGAUUGAGGCAAAAAUAAGGUACGCCGCACGUGCCACGACGAAGGCUAGGAAAGAGAGAAAAAAAUUAGUUUUUUAAAUGGACAAAUUUAUAAGUGCAAAAUAGUUAUUUUGUGUAUCAAUCAUUAAAAAAAAUAAAGGUGAAUCAAACGGCAUGAUAUAUAUGAAUGAAUUAGAAUUUUUGGAGGGAUAUAUUUGUAAAUCGGAGAGUUUUUAAAAAGAUAAAUUUGAUAACUUAAGUUUUGUAGGAAUAUAUUUACUAUUUGAUACUUUUGCAAGGAUCUGUAUAAAAUUAACCCUAAAAUAAAUUUGAGGUGAACUAGUGCUCAAUUAAAAAAGUAUUUUUUUUGGCCGUUUAUUUGUAUAACUAUGCAACUGAAGUUCUUCUAAUUUUGCCGUCUAUUUUAGCACGAAGUGAACUGCACAAAAGCUAGAAAUGUGAAAGGUGGAUUUUCAUUUUAUUACUUUUUUCCCUCACUUUUUCUUUGGUAAUUGACUAUAGUCUGCAAUCGGUCGAAGUCAAUUACGAUGUUUUGAUAAGUUUUGAAUUUUCGAUCGAAAAUGAAGUUACAAUAAAACAAAUAAUAAAAAUGAGCAUUUAUAACCAAAAAUUAGUUUACUCCUCUCCAUUUUCGGUAAAACAAACACACCCUUAUAUGUUUUGUCGUUAAUACUAUAAAAGCUAAAAUUUUAAAAAAAAUCUUCUAUAAAUAUUUGCUUUUAUAUAUUAUCAUUCUAUCUUUUCAAAAUUUUUAUUUUGCCAUCUUAAAAUUUAAAAUUAUCGCAUUUAAUCUAGUUAACAAUAUGUCACUAUUCCGUUCAUAUAUACGGUGUUGUUCGCUUGAGCAAUUUUAUACUAAGAUACGUACCCUUUAUACUCGUAACAUUUGUAUGAAUACAUCAGUUUUUUUUUAAAAAUUUUUUUCUUCUCAAAUUAAAUAUCUUUAUGAAAAAUGUUUCUACUAUUUACUUAUUAACUUUUUGUUUGCGUCAUUUUUAAUAAUAAAAAUAGAUAUAUCAAUAGCUACCCAGAGCAAUGCCAUAUAAUUUAUGUGUAAAAUAAUAAUGAAAUAGUAACUGCAUGCACGAGAUUAAAUCUAAACUUUAAAUUCUAUGGCUUAAAAAUUAGGCUUAAAAAUUAAAAGAUCAAAAGGUAAAGUAUAAAGACGAAUAUUAACGAAAGAAUUACCUACAUAUUAACCAAUAUAAAUUACUUCAAUAUAUUUUUUUAAAAAAAAACACAACUCGACUUUUUUUAUAUAAUAUCUAUAUAUAUAUAUUUUUUUCAUCUGAUGUGGGAUUAUCAGGCGUCGGAUAAAUAAGGCCCCAUGAUUAGGACUUUGUAGGGGUGCGGUGCACCGUGCACCGGGUGCGCGGAAUAAAUUUCGCGCACCUGGUGGAGUCCACGGGGGUCCACGGGCUAUCUGGACCGUCCGAUGAGAAUCCGUUUGCUCGAGGGUUCGGUCGAUCAGAGCCGCACGAUGGAUCAGGGUGCGGGGUGUUUGUGCGGUGGGGCCCAGGGCCCAGGGGAUUAGCGGAAGAGGGGGGGGUGCACAUGGGUCGGCAACGAGGGGGCCACGUGGCUCAUCUGGAUAAGCUCAGGAGCUUCUAGAAUAACCAUCUUUAACUGCUUCUCCAGGAUUGCGUAAAUUUAUUUAAAUUAUAAAUUAUUUUGAGCCAAUUAUUUAAUUUAUAAAAAUUUAAUUUCACCGUCAAUCUUUUAAUUUAUUUAAUUUAAAUCAAUUAAUAACAUUCUAAUUUUAAAAUUUAAAUAUACCAUUUAAUUUUACAAGUUUUUUUAAAGUUGAAUUAUCGUUGACUAAUUCAAAUCAAAUAAAUUGAAAAAUUGGAUAGUAAGAUUAAAAUUUUAAAAUAUUUGAUAGUCGACUCAAGAUGACCCGCAAUUCAAAUAAGUUCGGUAAGUUUUUGUCUAUCUUUUUAGUAUUUAUUUAGAUCAUUUUUAGAUGUCGGAAUGAAUUAAUUGUAAUAUUUUAUUUAAUAUAAAUUUUUUUCUAUUAUGACCGGGAGUUAAGAGUACAGUUAGGAAUGCAGACGGGAUAGAUUCUGAGGCAGGAGGGGUUUCCCACCUUCAAUCCCAUUUUCUUGGCUGAUGAAAACGGAUUCAAACAAAUUAAUUUUAAUUCUAUUUUUUCCUCUCACUUAUUGUUUCGUUUAGAGAUAGGUUCGGACAUGAGCGAAUUUAUUGCAGAUUGGAUCGGAUCAAAGGAAGGUAGGGGCCUUUCAUCUUCUACGUUAUAUUUUUUAGUUGAUCGGGAUGGAUUCGGGGCAAAUUAUUUUUUUCUUUAAUUUUGGUCUCUACUUACCUCUCUAUCGGACGAAUUAGGUCAGAAAGUCCACUAACCCGGAUCAAUCUGCAUUGCUAAAUAUAGUCACAUAUCUAGGCAAGAAUAGAUUAUAUUAUAAAUAAAAUGUGCCAUCCUAUUAAAUUAUGCAUGUCAUAUUCUUUCUAGAAGAAAAAAAAAAUUACACUGAUAUCUUUUAGGUAUUUAUGAAAUCAGAUAACUUAUUCUGAUAUCUAAAUAAAAUAUAUAGUCCAUAAGAAUCUCCUAAUAUCGUAUUUUAUAAUUUUUGAGACCGACAAACUUAUUUCAGCUUUUCUGCUAGCGAAAAUUUCUCUACUCCAGCAAACAUGUGACGCAGGGAAAGCUGUUCUGGAGCAAAGUACAGAAGCUUAAUAAUUAGUAUUCGUAUUUAAUGCGUUGGUGGAAUUUAAUAAUGAUUUAGGUGUACCUUUCUAUGUUUGUGGCUAUUAUUGCUUAGGGCAAUAACAAACCCAUAUUUUAAAGUAUUAAUAAAUUGCAUGUUUUGUCCUUAGGGGCAUUUGGUUUGCUGUAAAAUCACUUCGAAAAAAAAAAAAAAAAAAAAACGGUGGAAAAGUGAAUUUCCAGUGUUUGUUAACCGUAAAAAAUUUUUUUUGGAAAGCAUGUUGAAUCCCACGAGACGUUGGGAUGCCGAGGCGGGAUGCAGCAAGUGCGCGGUCCACGAGGGACACCCCACCUCCUGGGAGAGAGAGAGGUCCACGAGGUCCACAGUGGACUUCCAUCUUUUAUAUAUAUAUAUAUAUAUAUAUAUAUAUAUAUAUAUANNNNNNNNNNNNNNNNNNNNNNNNNNNNNNNNNNNNNNNNNNNNNNNNNNNNNNNNNNNNNNNNNNNNNNNNNNNNNNNNNNNNNNNNNNNNNNNNNNNNCGCUUCCGAAUAAGUUCAAAUUAUUAUUUGAAUAUUUACGUUUAUCUGUAAGUUCGAUUUUAUCUUUAUUAUAAAAUUAUUUAGAUUUUUAAUUACAAUCAGAUUUUCUGUGCGGUAUUUGUUCCUACAUAUUAAGGUGUAUCAACACACACAUAGAUAUGCCAACUAUUCCUAGCACAAAUGGCAUGGUAAAAGAUUUAAUAGUCGGUAUCCGAAAUUUUAAAUUUGAAAUCUAGUUGCUUUACAUUUUUAACUAAAUUUAUUUUUUAAAAAAUAAAUAAAGCGGAUAGCAUGCUAUUUUUUUUUCUUAAAAAAAAACACACAUAGAUAUAUGUGACGCUCCACUUCCUAAAAAGUCACUCAUCUUAAAACUACUUUAGCCAUAAUACGCUUAACUCUCUUAAUCUGGAUGAAAAGAUAAAGUGAUGGAUGAAAAAUAUUUCGUACCAUCGGAGUGUAAAACUAAAUUUUGUCUGCAUAUUUAAAAUAUUAUUAUAAAAAAUUGAAUUAUGUAAUUUUUUAUCCAUAACUUUUUAUAUGAUUUAUAUUGUAUAUAUUAAAAAUAUAUUUUAAUUUUAUAACAUUAAUUAGUUAAAAAUAUGUUGUAUAGUAAAAGAUCAGAGAGAGGGAGAGAGAGAGAGAGUCUAGAUGGUAAAAAAACAAAAGAGAGAGAGAGAGAGAGAGAGAGAGAGAGUCUAGAUGGUAAAAAAACAAAAAAAAGGCCCCACACCACUCCCGACGUGGAGAAUGGGAGAGAAAGGGAAGAAUUGGGAUGGAAAAAGAAUGUUGAAUUUCCCUCUGGCCAAAUUAGCGUGAGAGAACACCAUGUUGAAUUUCAACGAAACAAAAGUGGACCCUACCCCCUUACCCCUUUCUUUGGCUCAAAUCAACGUGGAGAAUGGGGAAGAGAGAAGAAUUGGGAUGAAAAACAAAAAAAAAUGGGCUCCACUCCAAGUCUCCGACCCGCAUUUGUCCAAAUCAACAUGGGAGCGCGGCUUUACUUACUUUUUUUUGUCACUUUUUCAGAGGUCCUAGCUGCUUUCAUAAUAUACGCUUAGUUCAUACUGCUUGAUGAAUAAAGCAGAUAGCUUGUUAUUUUUUUCUCAAAAAAAAUAUGGGAGCGUGGCGUUCGAUUUCAUCUAGGUUUUCUAUAUAUAUUAUUAUAUAGCGUAAAUUGAUGUAAUGCAGUAAUGCACCACUAGAUUGGUGCCGGUAAUAAUUUAUUAUAGUUGAGACAAAAGAGAGAGAUGGUGGAAGAGAAAUAUUUCGUACAUUGGGAGUAAAAAUAAAUUUUAUAUAGUAUAUUUCUAUAAUCUCAUUAUAAAAAAUUUAAAUUAUAUAACUUUUUACACAUAGAUUUUUAUAUUAUUUAUAUUUUAUGCAUUAAAUAUAAACUUUAAUUUUAUAAUAUUUAUAACUUAAAAAUAAAUUGUACAGCUUUUUGCUGAGAAAGAGAUUGACGGAGAAUAAAAGCGAGAGAAGAAUUGGAUAGGAAAAAAAAAAGUGGGUCUCACCCCACCCUCUCCACCCUGGUCAACAUAGAGAAUGGGGGAGAGAGAAGAAUUGAAAUGAAAAAAAAAAAGUAGCCUCGUCCUAACCUGUUUUGCACAAAUUAACAUGGGAGCGCCACGUUGAAUUUCCACUGAAGUUUAAUAUAUAGAAGAUAUAUGAAAUAUGUAGACUUUUUGAGGAAAAAUACUAAAUCUACAACCUAAAGAAUUAUAGUCUCUACGAUCUCUAAAGAAUUAUAGUCUCUACAAUCUCUUAUUCAAUGAUCCUUCGAUCUUAUACCACUUUUUCUAGUACUUAGUGGCAAGAUUUGUAGAAAAAAAAUAUCUUUUGUAUUAGUAAAAUGGUAAGAUUACAACUGAAAGUGUAUGUAACUUUGUUAGUUAAUUCGCGAAUUAUUCGCGAAUUUUUGAAGAAACGUAUUAAACGGCCGUAUUCGUAAUUUUUCGAAAAUUCGAAAAAAAAAAACGCAUUUUUUGGUCAAAAAUACUUAUUCGAGAAUAAUUCGCGCGCCGAAUUAUUCGCCAAAAAUACAGUCCUCGCUCGUAUCCGCGCCCGCGCUCACGCUCGGCCCGCGCUCACGGGUCGCGGGCCUCACUGCUCGCGCAAAACAGAAAAAAUAAAAAAAACCCUUUCCAAACAAAAAAAAAUCCUUUCCGAAAAAGGAAAGAAACAAAAUCCUUUCUGAAACAGAAAAAACCCUUUUGCUUAGCACAAAACAGAAAAAAUUAAAAAAAAACCUUUCUGAAACGUUCGCCCCCCUCCCCCCACCUAAAAAAAAAAUCACUCGAUCAAAAAAAUUUAAUCUCUUAUGGACUAUCUAAAUCUCUUAUUUAUUUAAUUAUUUAUUUAUUUUGAGGUAUAAUAUAGUUUGCUAUUUUUUUACUUAAUUAGCUUAAUUUUGUAGCUCUUUAUUUUUAUAUUCUUAAGGAAUAUAAGUAUUUAUGCUAAUAGCAUAAAUCUUGCGAGAAAAAAAAACUUAAUUUAAUAGCCGAAUUUUUAAUAGGUGAACAUAUAAUAUCCGUAUAAAUCAUGUAUUCGAAUAAUUAACGAAUUUAUUUUUUAGCCAUAUUUUUCAACGAAUUUAAAAAUUAGAAGACGAAUUAUAUCCAUACCGAAUUUUUGCCGAAUCCGAAUUAAAUAAUUAUGGUAUGUAUAGCAUUUUUCUUUUAAAAAAACCUUAAGGGGGCUAUUUCAGAAUAUACAAUCGGUUAGGGGUCUACGUACAUUUUUUUUGUAAAAAAUUAACAUCAAUAAUUUGAUCUGUUUCGUCGACUGGUCUCCUCGUCGACUGGUCUCCUCGUUUACUCCAGUCGCCUCUACAAACGUCAAUCCACUAAUUGUCCACCAAUUUCCACCAAUUUCUUUAUCACAACAAAUUUGAUGGUUGUAUUGAAAUAGCGAUGGAUUGCACGAAUAUACUGUUAGUAGAUGCCCUUAGUCAGCCACUUGGUUCAUUUUUUACAAUACGCAAAUGUGCAGUUACAAUUAAGUGGCACUAUAAAAAACUUUCCAUGUAAGGAUGUUUUUUAAAUAACAAUUAGAAAAGCAUCUUCAAGCUCCCUACAAUAUAACAAAUAUCGACAUUUCAAAAUAAGUCGUCAUAUAAAUCCUCUAUUACAACAAACCAAUUUAUUAGAUGAUAUACUUCAUUAUUAUUUUUAAUUUUUUGACACUUUAAAGCGUCAAGAUUUCAAAAAAUUCUUAAAAAUUCUAACAUUUUAAAGCAUCAUAAUAUAUUUUAUCGACGCUUGGUAUAAGCGUCGGUAUGUAAGUGGCGCCGUUUUAACAGACGCUUUUAAAUGUCACGUUAAGCUAUAUUAGGACGAUUUUAAGCAUCAUUAAAUAUAAAAAAAAAUCAUGUUUAAAUGUUAAUUUUUUUGUAGUGUGGCCUUAGCUAUCUACUUCGUUUAUUUUUUACGGUGCAUGAAUAUACAGCUACAAAUACGAGUGGAUGGUUUUAGCUACCUGCUUAGCUAAAAUAUAAAGUAAUUAAAUAUCUCAAACAGAAAAAUUCGGAUACUAAUAAUUAUUAAGCAUUUAACGAAUUACCGUUAGUGACAUUUUGCAGAAGCAAUGUGGUACUAGGCACAGAAGUAUUCUCACACCAUGGUAUUACUACCUUACAACAACUAAAUAGGAUUUUUGACUAAGCGUGGAAGGUAGUUUGUUAUCUAUCCAGUGGCCAAGAUUAAACACCAACCAAGAGCUACUGCAGGAUUACUAUGGCUUUAGCUUCUCUUGUCUUAGUUCGUAGAAUGGAAGGCUUUUUCCAUGCACUAUUUUUUCUCAUCAAUCUACUAUAUGUGAUGUCCGCCGCCUGGUGCACCGCCACUGCCGCCGCCGGGAUCAAAGAAGCUGCAUCCGACCGCGCCGCCCUCCUCUCCUUCAAGUCGCUCAUUGACGACGAUCCGUUCGGAGCGCUCUCCUCGUGGAACAACGGCUCUCUCCACUACUGCAGGUGGCGCGGUGUCUCCUGCGGCCGCCGCCAUCCCGACCGGGUCACGGCCCUCGACCUCAAGUCUCUCCGCCUAGCCGGUUCCGUAUCACCCUCCGUAGCCAACCUCACAUUCAUCCAAAGGAUCGAGCUGUCCGACAACAAGCUAGACGGAAGCAUCCCGGAGGAGCUAGGAAGCCUACGCCGGCUGCGAUAUCUCAACCUGAGUGUGAAUUCUCUUCGCGGAAUGAUCCCGUCUUCUCUAGGCAAUUGCUCUAAUCUUCGACUACUCAACUUGAGAUGUAAUAAGCUCAACGGUGAGAUCCCGCCAACUCUAUCGCGUCUUUCCAAUCUUAGAGAGCUUCGCCUGAGUUGGAACACGUUACAAGGGACGAUCCCAGAUUCACUUGGGAAUCUUUCUUCUCUACUCUCUCUUUCUUUAGGUAACAAUAGCUUGUCAGGAGCCAUGCCUCCAUCCUUCGGUGGCCUUCUCUCGUUGAAGAUUCUUGAAAUCCAAGAGAAUAGUCUCACGGGAACCAUUCCGCCCAGUCUCACAAAUCUCUCCGCUCUGAACGUGCUUGCGCUACGAAGAAACAAACUUCAUGGUGAAAUUCCCCAUUUUGCAGAACUCCCAUUCCUCUCUUACCUGGACUGCUCUUAUAAUUAUCUUUCCGGGACGAUCCCAAUUUCGCUCGGACAACUUUCAUCUCUCAAAUAUCUCAUUCUCGGGAUGAACAACUUAACAGGGGAAAUACCGUCAUCCCUUUACAAUCUAUCAUCCCUGAAGGGCUUAGAACUCAUUUAUAACCAGCUCGAGGGAACUCUACCCUCCAAUAUCGGAAAUGCUCUUCCGAACCUUCAAGUCCUUCGUAUGUAUGGAAAUCAGCUCGGGGGGCAAAUUCCAGCAUCCUUGUCCAAUGCUUCUGAGCUUUGCGACCUUGAGCUAUCACUCAAUGCAUUCCAUGGCACGAUACCGCAGAGCCUUGGAGCCUUGCAGAGCCUCUUGCGGCUCAUACUGACCGUCAAUCGACUCGAAGCCAGGAAUCCUAGUGACUGGAGCUUCAUUAAAGCACUGACCAACUGCACCAGUCUCCAAGUGUUGGCACUAGGACACAAUCAACUUCAAGGCACACUGCCCAAAUCACUAGUCAAUCUUUCCACUAGUCUUAAUGUUUUGGUAAUCGCCAACAACCAAAUAUCAGGAAUUAUACCUACUGAGAUUGAGAAGCUCAUCAAUCUAACUAUUCUUGCCGUGAAUGGUAACGACCUUCGAGGCACCGUUCCCAUAGAAAUCAGUCAUCUUUCGCAAUUACAGUACUUGGAUCUGUCGAACAACAUGCUUUCAGGCGAAAUUCCUCCCACUUUGGGCAACCUAACACGAAUGGACAAGCUCUAUCUUGGCAACAAUGAAUUUGAAGGAGCCAUUCCGCUGACAUUAAGCAACCUGUUAAUGCUAGAGUUGUUAGAUCUAUCAAAUAAUAGGCUAAGUGGUAGUAUUCCUAAAGAAGUUUUGACCCUUUCAUCACUCACAAUCUUCCUUGACUUGUCGCAUAAUUUACUGAACGGUUCAUUACCGUUGGAAGUGGGCAACUUGAUAAAUAUCUGGGGUGUUAAUCUCUCAAAUAACAGGCUCUCUGGUGAGAUUCCAGACACCAUCGGCAAAUGCGUCAUCUUGGAAAAUCUUUAUUUAGAGAAUAACUUAUUUCAAGGAUCCAUUCCUCCCUCCAUCAGCAAUUUAAGAGGGCUUGAGGAGCUUGAUCUCUCAAAAAACUUCUUUUCAGGCCAAAUACCGGCAUUCCUAGAUGAGCUCCCGGAUCUACACUACUUAAAUCUCUCCUUCAACAGUUUUGAGGGCCGAGUGCCGAUGAAAGGGGUCUUUAAGAAUGCGAGCGAAGUUUCGCUUAUCGGAAAUAGUAAACUCUGCGGCGGAAUUCCAGAAUUACACUUGCUGAAAUGCACUUCAGAUGCCUUUGCAACAAAACAUCACUCUGAUUAUAAAGUCAGAGUAAUACUCAUUCCUAUAUGUGGAGCUAUUUUGUGUUUGAUUAUAAUCAUGUGCUUGCUUGGGAUACAUCACUUGAUUAAAAACUCACAGAGAAAGCCGCUGUCGAGGUUUUCCUUAAGAAACCGAUAUGCAAAAGUAUCUUACGAUGAGCUCUUGAAGGCUACAAAUGGGUUCUCCUCAGAUAAUCUGAUCGGCACGGGAAGUUUUGGGUCGGUUUAUAAAGCUGCCAUGAACUAUGAAAACGCUGACAUCGUUGCGGUGAAAGUGCUUAACCUUCAACAGCAUGGGGCUUUCAAAAGUUUUAUGUCUGAAUGUGAGGCCCUCAGAAGCAUUCGACACCGAAAUCUUGUCAAAAUUCUUACAUUGUGCUCUAGUUUGGAUCACCGUGGUAACGAUUUCAAGGCCUUGGUUUUUGAGUACAUGCCUAAUGGGAGCUUAGAAGAGUGGCUACAUCCAAAUGCAUGCCAGAAUAGGCCAUUCAGAAGCCUAAGUCUAAUCCAGAGGUUGAACAUAGCUAUCGAUGUAGCCUCGGCAUUGGAGUAUCUUCAUCACGGAGGGUCCGUGCCGAUUGUUCACUGUGAUCUUAAGCCCAGCAACAUCCUUCUUGACAAUGAAAUGACGGCGCACGUGGGCGAUUUCGGGUUAGCAAAGUUUCUGCGGCAACCGCCUGACGAAUCAUCAGAGCGUUCAUCUACCAGCAUUGUGGGGAUCAAAGGAUCUAUUGGUUAUGUUCCUCCAGGUGAGAAAUAUGCAAUAAAAUUCUAACUUUUUUCAUGCUUUACGGCAUUUUAGAAAAAAAAAUAUAACACAUUUUUAGUUGAUUCCUAAGUAUACUAUAUCUAAUGUUUUUUGCUGCUCAUUAUUGUUUGAAGCAAAAGCAAAGUGAAUAGCAAAAGUUUAAUAAAUAAAAUUGAAAAUUUAGUAUAAAAAUUAGUAGAAAAGAGGGAAAAAAAUAUUGUGGGAAAUAAAAAGGAUACUAGAUAUUAGCUACGGCCUAUGAAAACCGACAUACUAGAGUUAGAAUAAACUGCUUGAUGCUUACUAUUAAAAACUGAUUAAUUAUAAGCGCUAAACACGCUUGAGCUAGAUCUUUAUUUCUGCAUAUCUAAUGCUAUUUUAGAUUCGAUUUAUAACUAUGGCUUGGAAAACAGUUGAACGAAAUCCAAACCCAAAUGAAUUCACCUGACAAUCUGGUAUUAUUUUUUUCCCAAUUGACUAAUGUUGUGCAGAGUAUGGAAUGGGCUGUAAACCAUCUAGGCUCGGCGAUGUGUACAGCUACGGAAUUCUUCUGCUGGAGAUGUUCACUGGAAUGAGCCCCGUCGAUGACAUGUUCAAAGAUGGUCUGAGCCUUCGUGGAUAUGUCCGUGCCACUGCUGCUUUUCCUGAACAUCUCAUGGACAUUAUAGGCAGAAAACUGCACUCAGCUGAUAAUGAUAUAGCUUACCAAGAAGAGUGUGUGCGAGAUUGUGUGGUUUUGGUGUUCGACUGCAGUCUCUCGUGCUCAAAUGAAUUGCCAUAUGAACGAUGCGACAUGACGAAAGUCUUAAAGGUGCUGAGUGCAGCAAGAGAGAGGCUUCUUAGCUAAAAGCUGUUUUUCUCCCUAUGCUACGUUUCUCACUAGAGGCAAAUGAAUGUAUGUUUGACCAUCCUCUGCUUUUCCUUAUUUGCAUUUAAAAAAUAACCUUGUGUAAUGAAUAUGCCUAGUCCUUAUGGUUUUGAUCAUUCCUUUCUAAAAUGAAUAUAACCAAAAGCAGUUAAGCACUUCAAUUUAUUUUUGCAUCUGUAUACAUUAAUAGCUUAAAAUUCCUAAUUUCUGGCUCAAGUUUAUAACUGAAGCCUAAUAUAACCCAUCAUUGCCAAAUCUCUGUUGAAUACAUUUUUCAACAGAUAGCUCCAACCCUAUUUAGAAGGUUGUAUAGACAAAUUUUGGAUUUUAAGCACAAACUACAGAAAGAUCAUAAAUAGUAUGAUAGAAGGAGAAUAUUGACCAAGAAAAAUUAAGAGGCAUUUACAUUCAAACAAAGCAUCACAUACAAAAGCAAGAAUCCAAUGCAAGGGACCACAAACACCGAAAAACGCAACUAUCACCCAAAGUAUUUGACAUUCGAAAAAGAACACCAGAUACGUACAUAUACCACCCCUCCGGUUCGCGUCCAACACCAUCAUCUCCGCCUGCGCCCUCAGUUCGUUCAAAACGUCCUCAUACUAUAUACCAAAUACACCAACAAGUGAAACUCAAAUUCACGAAUCAAAAUCAAAUUUUGAGAAGAACCCAGAUCGGGAAAUGGGGCAGGGACCUUAUCGGAGUAGGUCACGGACUCGUCGCCGAGCACGACGUCGCGGGGGCCGUCGAAGGCGACUGCGGUGGAGGCGGUGUAGACGACGCGGCGCACGCCGCACUCGAUUGCGGCGGAGAUUAGGGUUCUGGUGGCGCCAAUGGCUAGGGCGUGGAGUUCAGAGAAAUUGGGAGGUGGUGGUGGAGAUAAUGGAGGAGGAGGAGGAGGAGGUGGUGGUGACGGGAUCGAUGUGGAAGACGACAACGGAGCCGGAGAGGGCGGGGAUGACCUGGGCCCGGUCCGAGGAGGUGAAACGGGCCGGGAGAAUGUAAUGUACCUGACGAAUCGCAGCCGCCGAUGAUGAGAUUGCUCUGAGGCUUGGUCGGCGAUGAGGAUGAUGGUUGGAUCGGAUUAGAGAAAUUGAGAUAAUUGAGUGACAGAAGGGAAGAAGAAGAGCAGAGGAAGAGUUUAGAGAGCUAGAGAAAGAGGAGAGUUGGGGAGGAAUAAGGGUUUGGAGAGGUUAGAGGCAGGUUGAGGGAGACGAGGGCAUGAGACUGCGAGAGAGAGAGACAGAUGAGACGUAGGAGAAUUGGGGAGAAGGAAAAUACUAAUUCCGUUUUCAUUACAUCAUGGUAUUUAUACUAAUGAUGGAAAGCAAAAACGCUAUUCUAUAGGGACUAAACAGCAAAGGUGGUAAAAAAUAGAAGCAUGGGCUUGAUAGGCCGCUAUUCGGCGCUAUUAUGGGCCCCCGCCUGGGCUUCACUGGUCCAUGAGCUCUUCUUGUAACCGGUGAGUGAAUAUCGGGUCGCCUUCUCCGCACUAUCCUCCGCCCGGCGGGUAGCGGGUCCGCUUUUUCCAUCCGAUCCAGGAAUCGGGUCAUCCGCUCCGCUGGUAACCCGGGUCAGAGGGUUAUCGAUUCGUUCCCUCCGCGGAACCUUCAUCCUGCGGAUAUUGGGUCCGCAUUUUCCAUCCGACCCGGAAUCGGAUCGCCCGCUACCCGCUACCGAAAUAUUACCGCUUCCUCCGCUCUCCAGAUCCUGCAGGAUUUCCCCUCUUACUUCGAUCCUCCCUCCUCUCCUUCCGAGCAUCCAGGAUGCCCUAGCUCCGCCGCUCCGCCGCUCCACCGGAGUUCCACCCGAGCGACCUCGCGCCGCCGGAGUUCCGCCAGGCUCGCCCUUCCUCGACUUGCUGCGGCCACUUAUCUCUCCCAUUUUGUAAAGUUAUCAUUUUUAUUACCUUCCUCUGCUAACUACUGAACUACUAAUACUUCAGGUCAGGUCGUUACAGAAAACCUGGUUGGUGGACCGGACCGGGAGAAGGGGAGGGAUCGGCGACGCGGACUGUCCAGUGGCCGGGAGAGACGAGCGCGGCGCCGAGGGAGCGGCCGAGGAAGCUGGACCGGCCGAAGGUGACGGCAAAGGGGAUCCGGUUCGGCUCCGCUGCGAGUGGACCGGGUUCGGAGCCAUUGAGGGGGAUUGAAGGGGAUAGAGAGGGAGAGGGUAGGGGGAACGAGGGAGAAAGAGAGAAGAAAGGGUAACGAGAAAGAUAGAGCGGCGCCGUUAAGUGUUCGUAACGGCGUUUCUCACGCACGCGCUCGUGACGACCCGUUCCGUACCAAAUCACAUACAAUUGAAUCAAAAUUUUCAAUUAUAUGAUUCAAAUUUAGUGAUGCAAAACCGAUAGUCUCUAAAGCAAGUGACAAAGAGCUUGGUGGUUGGUAUCUAAAAUUCAAGUUCGAAUUCUAGUUGAUUUACAUUUCUAGCUAAAUAUAUUUCUGAAUAAAAUAGACGAAAUCUCAAAAAAAAAAAAGAAAAAAUAGUGAUGCAAAGGGCGCGGAGAUCCGGCCCUCCUCCCGGCUCCCACUACUAAAAUUCCGUCCCACCUCCGCCCGGAAUCUGUAACAAAUUAGAAAAAUGAAUCUCCUAAUUCGCUAAGUCUCAUAACUUAUUUUUUGGUAGCAUCUCGAAUUUGUCCCAACAACAAAUAUUUUUUUAUAAAUUAUAAUAUUAUUAAUAUAUAUAAUUAAUAACAUCAAUUAUAAAAAUUAAGAAGAUCAAUCACGGUUCAAAGAACAAGUCAAAAAUUUCAAAUAUAUGAGAAAUAAGAACAUCAACUUAUUUUAUUUUGAACUUUUUUGUGAACAUAUUAUUUUUUAAAAAAUUAUGUUACUAUACUAUCAAUAAUACCAAUUUUUUGGUACUAUCGAGUUUUCAGCUGUUGAAUGAAAGGAUGUACUGUUAGGAUAAUAGUGGUCCUUUAGGGUUGAGUAAGUGGCUGGCUGAAUAGUAUAAUCUAACGAGUGAAAAUGAUUAAAAAAAAUAGAUUUUACGAUAGAAAAAUUGAUAAUAGCAAGAACUUGAUAUUAUUAAUAGUAUAGUAGCCGGACUUAUUUUUUUAGAGAUAUUUUCUUAAAAAAAUACAUCUUAUACGUCGCAUUUUUACAACUUCGUUGUAAAAUUUUAAAUUCUAUAAAUUUUUAUAUAUAAACUUUUUAUAUAGUAUAGAUUGUAUCUAGCAAAGUAGAUUUUAUAAUUUUAUAAUAUUAAAUUUUAAAAAAUAAUUUAGUAUAUGUAAUGUACCAAUAGACUAAGUGCUGAUAAUAAUUUAUUAUAGUUGAGAAGAAAAGAUAAAGUGGUGACUGAAAAAUAUUUUGUACCAUUGGAGUGUAAAAUUAAAUUUUGUAGUCUACAUUUCUAAAAUAUUAUUAUAAAAAUUUAAACUAUGUAAUGUUUUAUCCAUAACUUUUUAUAUAAUUUAUAUAGUAUAUAUUAAAUAAUAAAUUUUAAUUUUAUAAUAUUGAUUAGUUAAAAAUAUGUUGUAUAAUAAGGUACCGUUUGGUUUGGGUAUAAAGAAGAACUAGCUAUUACAGAAAUAGAUACAAGUAUGGGGAUAAAAAAAAUAGUAUUUGGAUGAAAAUUAGGUUAUUCCUGAGGAUAAGAAAAAUAGCGUUUGGAUAGAUAAUAUAGAAUAAGAAAAAUAGUAGGUAGUUAUAUAUAGAAAAUGAAAGUGUUGUUGGGAAUAGUUAUACCAGCUUAUUUCAGGUACCCAAGAACUACUAUUUUCGGAUAAAAAAUUAGCAUUCAUGGGUAUAAAGGGGAUAAGGAGUUAUUCCACCCCUUAUUCCCAAUCCAAACGGGGCUUUAAUGAGAUUGACGGAGGUCGAGGUCGAGAGAGAGAAAGAGAGAGAGAGAGAGAGAGAAAAGGAGAAUCUAGAUGGUGGAAAGAAAAAGACCCCCACCCCACUCCUAUAGAGAGAGAGAGAGAGAGAAAAGGAGAAUCUAGAUGGUGGAAAGAAAAAGACCCCCACCCCACUCCUGACGUGGAGAAUGGGAGAGAAAUGGGAGAAUUGGGAUGGAGAAGAGAAGGUUGAUCCUACUCUAAUUCCUUCGGGUCAAAUUACCAUACGAGAACACUAUAUUGAAUUUCAACAGAAAAAAAGUGGGCUCCACCCUCCUCAUCCCUUUCUUCCGCUCGUAUCAACGUGGAGAAUGGGGAAGAGGGAAAAAUUGGGAUGAAAAAAACGUGGGCUCCACUCCAACCCUCAUUUGUCCAAAUCAAUCUGAGAGCGCCGUGUUCCCUUUCAACUAGAGUUUCUACAUACAUUAUAUAUUGUAAAUUGAUGCAAUGCACCAAUAGACUCAGUGCUGGCAAUAAUAAUUUGUUAUAGUUGAGACAGUAAAGAUAGAGUGGAGAAAACGAAAUAUUUGGUACAUCUGGUGUAAAAUUAAAUUUUAUAUACUAUAUUUCUAAAAUCUCAUUAUAAAAAUUUAAAUUAUAAAACUUUUACACAUAGCUUUUUAUAUUAUUUAUAUUGUAUGAAUUAAAUAUAAAUUUUAAUUUUAUAAUAUUCAUAAGUUAAAAAUAAAUUAACGUGGAGAAUAAAACAGAAAGGAGAAUUGGGUAGGAAAAAAAACUCCUCCAGAAUCAACGUAGAGAAUGUAGGGAGAAUUGAAAUGAAAAAAAAUGGGCCCAUCCCAACCUGUUUUGCGCAAAUUAACGUAAGAGCGCCAUGUUGGAUAUAUAAAAUAUGUAGAUUUUUUGAGAAGAAAUGCUAAAUCUACAACUUAAAAGAAUUAUAGUCUUUACAAUCUCUUAUUCAAUGGUCUUUCGAUUUUAUCCCACUUUUUCUAGUCCUUAAUAGCAAGAUUUGUAGAAAAAAGAUGUCUUUUGUAUUAGUAAAAUGAUAAGAUUACAACUGAAAGUGAGUUGAAUGUACGGAGACAUCCUUACGUAUAAGUAAUUCUGAAUUUGCUUCUAAAUUUUUAUUAUUUUGUAUUGAGAAUCGUUCCAUUUUUUAUUUACUCUAAAAUUAAGUGAUUUAAGUCAGAAAAAAUAAUUUUUUUUGCCAAAUUAACCGAUGAUUUUAUUAAAUUUAAUAAAAAAAAAGACUAAUUAACCGUUAAUAAGUAAUAAAGUUAUUAAAUUUGAUAGCUAAACUAAGUAUGAAAACUCAAAUAAAAAAAAUGACAUGGAGGGGCUCUCAAUAAAAAAAAAAUAUAAAUAUAAUUAAGUGAGUUAUUUCAAAAUGCCUAGAAAAAUGUUCAUAUAUUACUUAUCUAUUAAAAAUCCAUCUCUCACUAAUUGUUUCUAAUGCAAAUGGUAAAGUGAUGAUUGGUACUCAAGGUCAUAAAUUUGAAAGUUAUUUAUUUUAUAUUUUUAAUUAAAUUUAUUGUUAAAAAAUUAAACGAAGCGCGUGCACUACACAUUUCCUUUUAUCCAAAAUUAUUUGGUUUAUCAAAAUACCUAACGGCAUUCAUUUCUAAUAGGAAAAAAAAAAUGUCAAACACUUUCUAAAUUAACUUUAGAGAGUAGGCAAAUAGAUCCUUGAGUUUUAAAUUUUGACAACUAGACAAUCUAAACAUUAUCAAAUAAUUCAAUCGCCCUUCCUCUAUGGAAAAGUAACUAAUUAAAUGUCCAUUUUCGACCUAUGCCUUGUGUGUGAUCUUAUAAAGCUUCAAAAUAUAUUAAAAUUCGCCUUUUCUUAUUCUAACGCUUGAGAAAAGUAAUAAUUAAAAUGAAAGAUGGAUUUAAUCUGUAUAUUCUUCAAUCUGUAGAUCUUAGUUUUAUCACGAAGAGAGAAGAAAUGGUUUUUUUUAUUUGUUGUAUUCUUGAAACUUUGCAAGAUCAGAUUUGCAAAAUAUGUUACCAAACUCUUGAGAAAAUUGACCAAUUAAAUUAUUUGAUAAUUUUAGAAGAUCUAAUUGCUAAAUUAAAAAUUAGAGGGUCAUUUGACAAUAGUUUAAAGUUUAGGAGUUUUUAUGCAUUUAUCCCUUCCAAUUUUAAUACAUCUAUACGUAAAAAUGUACGGAGAUUCGGUCGUAUAGGCCAUUUUGAAAUUUGUUCCCUCCAUGUUUAUUUUAUUUGGAUUGAGACCCCCCUUCACUAUUGAUUUUUCAAAAAAGUGAUAUUUCUGUUCUUCUAAGGGCAUCUGCGCAAAUACAUGCCUUCAGAAGGGCAGUGAGGAAAUUCUCCUUUUAAAAAACUUAAAGAGGCCAAUUUCAGAAGAGGCUAUAGUUGAGGGGGUUUCCAUACACUUUAACCUAUAAAACAAUUAACCUGGCUCCUAUAAUUCGUUCUAUUUCAUGGACUAGUCUCCUUGUUUAGUCCGGUCGCCUCUACUAAGUCAAUCCACUAAUUUCCACAAAUUUCUUUAUCACGAUAAAUUAGAUAGUUGUAUCACUAAUUGUCCGCCAAUUUUCACAAAUUUCUUUAUCACAAUAAAUUAGAUGGUUACAUUGAAAUAGCGAUGCACGAAUAUACUGUUAAUAGGUGCUUUUAGUUACCCACUUCGUUUAUUUUUUAUAAUGUACGAAUGUGCAGCUAUAAUUAGGUGGCACUAUAAAAAAAUUUUAAUAUAAGAACGUUUUUUAAACGACAUUUGAAAAACCGUUUCUAAGCGUCUCUACAAUACAACAAGUAUCGAGGUUUCAAAAAGAGUCAUCAUAUUAAUCCUCUAUUAUAUCAAACUAAUUUGUUAGAUGAUAAUUUUUAUUAUUAUUUUUAAGUUUUCAACGUUUUAAAUGUUAGGAUUUUUAAAAAAAUUUUAGUAAGUCCUAAUACUUUAAAGUAUCUGAAUAUACUUUACCGACGCUUGGUAUAAGCUUCUGUAUAUAUACGAUGACUUUUCAUUUGACGAUGUUUUAAUCAACGCUUUUAAAUAGCAAGGCAGAACUAUCUUAGAAUGAUUUUAAGGAUCAUUAAAUAUAAAAAAAAAGGUCCUUAAAAAUUAAGUUUCUUGCAGUGCAGUUGUAACAAUUCACUUCGUUUAUAUUUUAAUUUGUAGUGUAUGAAUAUACAGCCAGGAAUAAAAGUAGGUUCCCACUUAACUAAAAUAUAAAAAAUACUAGAUUUUGAAUUUAGCAUCUCAAAUAUUAAUUAUUAAGCUUUUCGCUAAUUACCGUUAGUGACAUUUAGAGAAGUAUUGCUGUACUAUAUAUAUAUGGUAUCGUUUGGUUCGGGGAUAAACCAAAAGUGGCUAUUCUAAGUAUAGUUAUAAAUUGAGGUACAAGCGAGGAUUAGAUCAAUUUUACAUAAAAAUUAGGUUAUUCCUAUGGAUAAAAAAAAUAGCAUUUAGUUAGAUAAGAUGGAAGAAUUAAAGUGGAUAGUUAUAAAUAAAAAAUAAUUAUAUUAACCCUUUCUUUAUAUUAGAAUUUAAAUUUUUAUAUUUUAUAUUUAUAAUUUAGAAUUUAAAAUAUAAACUUUUAAAUUUUAAAAUUUUAAAAUCUCAAAUUUACAAUUUUAAAAAUUUUAAAUUUUAAAUUUUAAACUUUAAAUUUAAGAUGAAAUUUAUUAUUAAUAAAUUUAUAAUUUUUUAAAAAUUUCUACUUAAACUUAAAUUUAAUAAAAAUAAUUUAUUAUAAUAUUUAAAUAAAAUUUAUUAUAAUAUUUAAAUAUAAAUAAUAUUUAUUAAUAUAGGAUAAUUAAUAAUUUUAUAAUAAAAACAAUAUAUUAUAAUAUAUAAUAUAUUAUAUUUAUAUAAUUUAGUUUUAAUUUAAUUUAUAAUUUUAAUUAAAGUAGAAAUUAAGCAUUGAAAUAGAACUAUUCUAUCAAAAUGGUGGAAUAGUAAAUCUCAAGCUAUUCCGGAAUAACCGGAAAUAGCAAAAUUUGACCGACAUAAAAUAUUUCGGAAAAAAAUCAUUCCGUACGGCGGAAUAGCGGGGAUAACGAAAUCUCCGCUUAUCUCC
This 87352-nucleotide long non-coding RNA is filed under the name Ananas comosus (pineapple). RNAcentral's name for it is "long non-coding RNA (ACOM_LNC008505)". Lineage: Eukaryota; Viridiplantae; Streptophyta; Magnoliopsida; Poales; Bromeliaceae. The record is from RNAcentral.